This 50829-nucleotide long non-coding RNA is filed under the name Citrus maxima (pomelo). RNAcentral's name for it is "long non-coding RNA (CMAX_LNC002514)". The stretch from base 36203 to 36306 matches the Rfam family "Plant small nucleolar RNA R71". The record is from RNAcentral. Lineage: Eukaryota; Viridiplantae; Streptophyta; Magnoliopsida; Sapindales; Rutaceae.
GAAGAUGAUGUUCAAGAACUACAUUAUCUUAAAGCCGUAGUGAAGGAGACAAUGAGAUUGCAACCUACAGUGCCGUUACUACUUCCAAGAGAAGCAAUUCAAAAGUGCAUAGUAGAAGGGUAUGAAAUACCAGCUAAAACACGUGUUUUUGUAAAUGCAUGGGCGAUAGGGAGAGAUCCUGAAGCUUGGCAGAAUCCUGAGGAAUUUUAUCCGGAGAGAUUUGUUGAUAGUUGUAUUGACUUUAAAGGGCAAAACUUUGAGUUAAUACCGUUUGGUGCUGGCAGAAGAAUUUGUCCUGGGUUGAAUAUGGGAAUUGUAACUGUGGAGCUUGCACUUGCUAAUCUUCUUUACAAAUUUGAUUGGGAAAUGCCGCCUGGAUUGAAGAGCCAUGACUUUGAUGUUCUGCCCGGACUUGCCAUGCAUAAGAAGAACGUUCUUUCUCUUCGGGCUAAGUAUCAUGUUGAGUAGGUAAAUUAAGGCACCUCCAUCAAUAAGAAGGUAAAUUAAGGCACCUCCAUUAAUAAGGGUUUGAUCUAGCUAAAGGAAAUAUAUGUUAUGCGUCCUCAAUUGUGCUUCUCAAUGUUUUCUUUCUUUCUUCUUAUGUAUAAUGGAUGUUUACGCGAAUGGUUUUUAGUAAGUAAUUUUCUUUUAGUUCAAAAUUUUGGGAGGUAAGGGCUAGAAGAUAAUAGGGACUCUGCCCACUCUCUUAUACCUUUAAAAAAAUGAUAUGAAUGUGAGUAUCAAUUUAUCACAUUUAUUUUGUCUUACAUUUUUCUCUCUCCAAUUUCAAAUUAUAAAUGUAUAUAUAAAUACACGAAACGACCAAUCAAUAUUAUUUACUUGAUAUAACUAAUAAGUAAAUUCAUGGCUUUUUCUAUCACCCCUUUUUUUGUUAGGAGUAUCAGUAAAAUCAGCUCUGUAAUGCUCUACAUCUUUACCGUGAAAGCUGCAUUUUUAUGGAAUCAGCUUACAGUUAUGUACUAACCAAAAAAAAAGAAAAAGAAUAUUACAUCAAUUCUUCAUUGAGAUUUGAGACAUUUUCUUCCUCCAGAAAGUAUACAAGUUAAAAAAACUACACAUCAUUGUGAUUUCAUAACAGCAUCAUCCAUCACUUUCCUAUGAGCUUUUUAUGAGGCCGGAGGCUAAAGCACAAUCAGUUGAGCUGUUAUUGCAUUUCCCACAGCAAGACUGUGGCAAAUCAGUUGACUUUUGACGUUAAAUGGUGGUUUCGGCUUGCAGUCACUUGUGUUUGUUCAAUUUCAAUAAAGGAAAUUUCAUUUUUGUUAAAAUCCAUGAAUAUUAAUUACUACCUUGUUCGCUGUUCAGUAAAACUAAAACAACACCAAAACUUAAAUAUUUUCGCUAUAUCACAAACUUAAAUAUUUUUUUUUUCCCCCUAUACAUCCCUAGUAAGGUUGACAGAAAAAAACCAAAUUUCAAUCGGUAUUGGGAUCCCCUCCCGAAUGAUAGGGGAUUUGGCACUAAUUUUUAAAAUCGAUUCGAUACUAAUUUUAACAAACACUUGCUUUAAACCAACUUAUUCUUCUACCACAUAAUUUACUUAACUUUCAUUACAUGAAAAAUAGUCAUUUUUUUUACCUAACUUGUUCGACAAUAGUUAAAUAUGUUGGUGAGAGGGCAGUUUUCAAUUGUAAAAAUCAAGACAUCGAGAAAAACUAAAAUGGCUAUUUGGUUUUUCUAAUGAAAAACUAAAACAACUAUAUGGUUUAGCGUGAAAUUUUAGCUUCAUUGGUAUUUAUGACGAUUGUAACUAACCAUUAAAAAUGCAUAAUUAUUUUCUACCUGUAGUGAUUUAGGUGCUGUAGAAUUCGAUUAGCAACCUAAGCACUGCCCAAGAUCACAAACCAGAUCCACUAGAUGCUAAGAACCCAAACAAUCAAGCUUUAAGUUUCAACAAAACCUUUAACGAAAAUGGCUUAAUCAGAACACACUCAGAACAAGAAUUAGAAACCAAUCACACCCAAAAGAAAGAGAAAUAUUUACGUGGUUCGAUUGUGCAAAGAAGCACAAUCUACAUCCACGGGAGAAGCCCACAGAGCAAGCUUUAUUGAUGAUUCAAGUAAUCUUUACAGAGCAAUACAAGAGCUAACUACUAGGAUCAAGACGAAGCUUUCUCUCUAUCUUAACUCUCUCUAUCACGCUCUCAGAUCAUCCAUGAAACUGCUUCUUUAACCAGCUUAUAUAGCAGCUGAUAAAGAACCCAGAAGUUGCAGAUUUCCGCCACCUGGACUAACAGCUUCUAACUGAUUUGAUUCUCCACCCCCCGUGCACUUCACAUGUUUCACUUAAGCCUUUUGCCGAAACGUCUCCAGCUCCUGCCGUUUUGAACUUAAGUGAAUCACAUGCCAUGCUCGUGACUCCUGAGUAUAUUAAACAUAUUCCAAACGUUGUCGUUUAACAUGCUCAAGUUUUGGAUUCAACAUUUUAGUCCACACUACCGUUUCAAAAACAUAGUCGAAAAUAAAAUAAUAUUUUCAAUUAUUGUAAUUUUUAAUCAAAAAUAGGAAAAUAUUUUUAAACGUAACUAGGAGUUGGUUGAAAAAACCAUUAAAAAGAUAUAAAAUUUUAACAGACAACAUGGGCACCAAUAAUGUUUUUCACUACUAUAACUUGCAAGGUUGGUCAAAGCAAAAGCUGUAAGGGUAAGUAAAUAUAAUAUAAAAUUAUAUAUCAUCUAAAAGAAAAGUAAUUGUACGUUUUUUUUUCUUAGUUUACUAUUUUUUUUAUCAAACAUGAACUAGAUAAUUAAAUAAUUAAUUAAUUAAUGUAUUUUUUUUAUAGAAUUAAUUAAUGUACUUAAUUGAAAAUAAAAUUAACUUCUACGAUGCAAACAGAAUUUGAGCCCUCAACUGAAAAGAUAAAAUAUGAAAGUGCCUACCACUGGAGCAAGAAAUAAUUUUCAGUAAAUUAUAAAUUAAAUAAUUAUGAAAGGAUUGAUUUUUUCUAAAGGUUUUACUAGGUGCAACAAUGGAAUUGAAUUACCUUAUUUAACUUAGAAGAUAUUGAUUGAUUACAGCAUAGAUAUAAUGUAUGAUAUCUUAAAUUAAACAUCAAUUAACUUCGAAAUUAUAUUGUAGUUCAAAUAAACUCGAUAAUAUUUAUGAUCACAUUCUAUCUUAUACACAAACUUGAAACUUAUGUUAUUGAUUAAGUCUCAACUAUUUUAAUCAUUAUCAUUGAAUCAAUUUAGAAAUUGAUUAUCGAACUAGCUGGUAUUUUAUAGUUAAGUAUUUAAAGAAAUAAUGUCUAUGAUUGAUCAUAAUUAUUGUUGAAUCAAUUUGGAGACUAGCUAAUUUUCAAAUUAAUGUAAUUAUCUAGUGGUCAAUUUCAAUAAAUAGAGUCUAAUAGUUUUCAUAGUUGUAUUAUACUCAUAAUUGUGGAACAUGGAACGUAUACUUCAUACUUAAAACUUAUUGCAUAUAUUAAAAAAAAUAGAUGAUUAGUAAUUAACAUUUAAUUAUAGUUGAAAUAUUAAUUAUUAAAUUAGUCUAAUUGUCUAAGAACAGUCAUACAAUUAAUUUCAAUAGAUAACAAGAACUAUUGCAAUAAUUUUUUUAUAUUUUAAAACAUAUCUCAACUAUGAAUUAUUAAAACUAAUAUAGCUUCAUAGUUUUUAGGCCAAUAUCUAUUUUCAUCUUUUGUUUAUCUUAUUAAUUUAAAUUUAAAAUCUAUGUUAAAUAAUAAAGAUGUUCUAUCAAUCAAUUUAGGCUAUAGAUUAAUUAAACAAUCUAGUAAUCACAUAAUAGGUAUUACAUAUAAUUGUUCAAUUAUAAUAAACUUUAAAUUUGCAUUAAUGAGAUAAGAAGUUUUGUUUUGCAAUUAAUCGAAUCGUAUGCUAAUAAUUUUCAAUAUUUAUUAUUAUUUCAAUAUUUAUUAGUAUGAAAUAACUAACUUAGGAUAAAUAAAUUGAUUGAUUGAUUUUUUCUUAAAUUUUAAUAUCUUGUAUUAUCUCUAUUAACUAUUUGGUCCACUGCCACCUAACUAAAGUUUUUAGUGCAAGUGUAUGUGUACCUAUUCUCCACUCUCUCUAACAAAUAUCUCAAUUAGCCACCGAAUCAAAUCUAAUAAUAGAAUAAAUAAAUAAAAGCCACCGAUAUUAAGCGCAACGGAUGAAUUCAUCUCCUCUUCUUUUGUAUAUUCUCUCCAAAGCUUUCAACUCUAUUUUGGGGUCAUUUUCUUAAUUUUUUUUAAUUAAACUAUAUAGAAACUGGGGAGAUGUUUUCAGAUAUUUAUUAAUUUUUAUCCUUCACCUUUAAUUUCUUAAGUUUGACAUCAGUUAUUGUUGGCCUCACUCUCACAUGGUUGGUUUGAAGCUUUUCUAUCAUGUAGUUCGGUGAAAAUUAUUUGAUUAAUCGUGACUUGCAGGUAAGAAUUAUAUUAUUAUUUUGUGUUAUGUUUUUAAUUUAUUAGAUUUUAAUUCACAAUUUAUUUGAUAACAAGUGAAAGAGAUGUUAAUUAGGAUAGAUUCAUUUUCUUGUUUAGUAUAUAGGAUUUUCUACUUUAAUUUAAUUGUAUCUUAAUAUUUUUUUUAUUGUUAUCAAGGGAAUUAAGAGCCUAGGAAGAAAAAAUUAUGAUAUUCAACUUUCAUAAGGAUUCAGUUGCUCAAUCCACAUUGAUUCUAUCUUUUAUCAACAGCAAAAUAUCAUUGCAAGAGUGCCAUGUAGCCUUUGGUGUAUUUUAUUUUAUUUAAAUAUUUGUCAUGGAUUCAAUGAUUAAUACGUAUUUAUUUUAUCUUUUAGUAGCAUUAAGUUAUUGUAAUAGCAUCAUGUAGCUUUAAGUCAUUGUAAUGGUGUCUUGUAGCACUUGUACUUUGUUUGAGUUGCACAUGUAUUUGUUGAAAUUAUUUAUAAAAGGAUAUUUGUCGAUUGAUUCAUUGAUUUUUUUCUCCUGAGGCAAUUAAUAAAACCAUUUUCAGCCAUAUAUAUUUGUCUACUAAUUCAUCAUUUUUUUUCCUAGAGGCGAUUAAUAAAAUGAUUAUUUUAACGAUGAAGUAGAAUCAAAUGAAUUUCAAUAAUCAUCUUCUUGGAAAUACUAAGAUUCAAUUAGAACUAAUAUUUAUUCGACUAUAAUUUAUUUUUUCCAACUGUUUUUACCCCUAAAAAAUAGUGUAUUUUUAAUGGUAAUUAGUUAGUUGAAAUUGAUAUUGCAAAUACAACUGCUAUCGAAAAUACUCUUUUUUACUACUUAAGGUGGUCAUAAAUAUCAGUCAUUAGUCACAUGUCCAUAUUAAUUUUCAAUCUAUAUUUAUGUAUUUAUGAUUGUCAAUUUCGCACCAAAUAAGCAUAUUUACGGCGGCCAAUCGGUAAAAGUGUGUUUCUAACCUGGGUAUUAGCGAUUACCAGCGACUGAUUAAGGCCAUUGGAAAAACAUAUUUUCAACAGUAUAGCACUUGUUUCAACUGCAUUCAGCAGUUAUAAAAAGUUAUUUUUCUUGUAGUAUAUUUAUACCGCACAUUUUGACUACCACUAAUUUAAGUUGCCUGAUGAACAUAUUUACCACACAUAAAAACUAAAAUAUCUGAGAUAUUUCUUUAGAUAUUUCUAUAGAUAUUUUAACAUUUUAGAUUACAAUAUUUUUCAACACUUGAUUUAAUCACCAAUCGUUGACUAUGAUGACGACAAAAAAUCUAUUUCAUUGUGCUAACCUCACAAGUGAAAAGGACUCCACAAGAGUACAAAACAGAGCCUUGAUCUAAUAAUAUUACCGAAUAUAGCAUUUUGUUUCCUUAUAAAUGGAGAGAGGUUCUGUCUUUGCACUGCAUAACAGAUAUUAAUGGCUUUACUUAUCGUCAUCAACUUCCUUAUGUGUCUCUCAAUCUUCGUCAUCUUCUUUGUUUUGACAUCAAUUUUGUUGGCCUCACCCUUGGCUGAAAGCUUUUUCUGUCAUGUAGAACGGUGAAAAUUAUUUGAUUAAUUGUGGCUCGUAGGUAAGAAUAAUUAUUGUUUUUUGUGUUCAUGUUUUUAAUUUAUUGGAUUUUAAUUCACAAUUUAUUUUAUAACAACUGAAAGAGAUUUUAUUUAGGAUAGAUUCAUUUUCUUGUUUAGUAUAUAGGAAUUUCUACUUUAAUUUAAUUGUAUCGUAAUUUUUUUUUUAUAUAUAUUGUUAUGCGGUGAAUCAAGAGACCUAGGAAGAAAAAAUUAUGGUAUUCAACUUUCAUAAGGAUUCAAUUGCUCAGUCCAUAUUAAUUCUAUCUUUUAUCAACACCAAAAUAUCAUUGCAAGAGUGCCGUGUAGCUUUUGGUGUAUUAUUUUUUAUUUAAGUAUUUGUCAAAGAUUCAAUGACUAAUACAUAUUUAUUUUAUCUUUUAGCAAUAUUAAGUCAUUGUAGUAGUAUUGUGCAAUAGGGAUGACAAAACCCCGGGCCGGGUCCGGGUAUUGCAAUGACCGGACCCUACCCGGAUGCAACCGGUCCGGGUCCAGGUCUGGGCCGGGUUUUAAUCCGAGUACCCGAAUUUUAUAUUUUUUAAUAUUAUAUGUGUAUAUAUUUUUUAUUUUUUGGUAAUUUUAUAAGUUUUAAAUUUAUUUCAAUAAAAUUUGACAUGAAAAUAUAAACUUUAAGUGUUUAAAACUUUAUAUAUGUAUAAUAAAUUAGUCAAAUAAAUAUAAAUAUUUAAAAUAAUAUAUAUUUUAUAAUAUUUUUGUAAUAAAAUCCGGGUUCUGGGUUUAUCAAGUGAUGUCCAAGACCGACCCGGCUUCAUACCCGGCCCAUAACGCCCGGGUACGGUUCGGGUCCAGACCGGGCGGGUAUUUUUGCCACCUCUAUCUUACAUCUUUAAGUCAUUGUAGUAGUGUGGUGUAGGAUUUGUAUUUUGUUUAAGUUGCACAUGUAUUUGUUGAAAUUAUUUAUAAAAGAAUAUUAUUCCACUAAUCCAUUGAUUUUUCUUUUUUCUAUGGGGCAAUUAAUAAAAUCAAUUUGGGCCAUAUAUUUGUCAAUUAAUUCAUUGAUCAUUUUCCUAGGGGUCCAGCUACCUUGCGUCAUGGGUUUGGUACCGCAGUUGUUUGUCUCUUAGCGAAUGACCCUUUAGAUUGUACUGAAUGCAUUCUGCACUAUGGUCCAAUAAUUCUCUUUCAAAUACACUUAGGUCCCCAAAUCAAUAGCUCAAUUCUUCACAUUCAAUUUAAAGCUUUUUUUAACUUCAUUAUCAUUUAUUUAUCAAACAUCACAUACCUGAUGCAGAUCCACCAGGUGUUGAGUUUCUACCAGCAUUCACUCUUGAGCUUGAUGUUGUUUCCAAGUUCUUGCAACGCUUCUGCUUGGCACAGAGAAGUAAAUUUUGUAAGUAAGUACACUCAAUCAAAUACUUCAUACUUAACAUUGAUUGCAUAUAUUAAAAAAAAUGUUAGAUGAUUAGUAAUUAACAUUUAAUUAUAGUUGAAAUAUUGUUUAUUAAAUUAGUCUAAUUGUCUAAGAACGGUCAUACAAUUAAUUUCAACAUAUAAAAAAACUAUUGCAAUAAUUUAUUUAUAUUUUGAAACAUAGCUCAACUAUGAAUUAUUAAAACUAAUAUAGCUUCACAGUUUUUGCAUCAAUAUCUCUUUUCAUCUUUCGCUUAUCUUAUCAAUUUAAAUUUAAAAUCUAUGUUAAAGAUGUUCUGUCAAUCAAUUUAGGCUAGAGAUUAAUUAAACAAUCUAGUAAGCACAUAAUAGGUAUUAUUAUUAAUUGUUCAAUUAUAAUAAACUUUCAAAUUGCAUUAAUGUGAUAAGAAGUUAUAUUUUGCAAUUAAUCGAAUCAUAUGCUAAUAAUUUGCAAUAUUUAUCAGUAUGAAAUAACUAACUUAGAAUAAAUUAAUUAAUUGAUUGAUUUUUUCUUAAAUUUGAAUAUCUUGUAUUAUCUCUAGUAACUGUUUGGUCCACUUAAUUACUAAAAUCCCACCUAACUAAAGUUUUUUGUGCAAAUGUAUAUUUACCGUAACCCACGUUCUCCAUGCUCUCUAACAAAUCUCUCAAUUAGCCACCGAAUCAUAUCCAUUAAUAGAAUAAAAAUAAAAGCCACCGAUAUUAAGCACAAUGGAUGAAUUCAUCUCUACUUCUUUUGUAUAUUCUCUCUAAAGCUUCAAACUCUAUUUUAGGGUUAUUUUCUUAAUUCUUUUGAAUCAAGCUAUAUAGAAUCUGGGGAGAUGUUUUCAAAUAUUUAUUGAAACGACCCGCCCCGAAUCAACCCAGACGAGUUUAUCUAGUCUCAUCAAAACGGACUUGAUAAUAAUUUUAUUCGUAAAGAUUCUGCCGAAAAUUCGGCAGAGUCUCCUUUAUAUAUAUAACACUCCCAAUCUACAAAUAUGAAUAUAACACUCUCAAUACAAGUCAAUAUACAACAAACUCUAGUGCUCAACAUCCUCAACCAAAAUGCUGAGUUUUAUAUCUCCAGAGUCUCAAAAGAUAAUAUUAUAACUAAUAUUAAUAUCUCAAUUUAUUCUUAAUCCCAAAAAGAAUAAUAUAACAAAAGUAUACAAUCCCAAAAGAACAAGAUGACCAAGAUAUCCUAACAAAAACAUUUAUAUCUUCUAACACCAUCACGUGACCAAGACUCAAAAUAUAUUUACAGUCGCUGGGUCGGUCUGGUGUACCUGCAACCUCCUGGUGAGGGGGGAAAAAUAUAAUAAAAACGGGAUGAGUCUAAAACUCAGUGAGAUCAGUGAGUGGAUAGUAGUUUUGAAAAUUAAUUCUUACUUUAAAAGAAAUAAUCAUAUCAUUUCCAAACAUGAUUGCACUAAACCAUAAGCGAGAAACCAGAAAUAAAUAAUUAAACAUUUAAAUCAGAUUACUAACCAUGGAAAUCAUAUCACAAUAUCAUAUAGAAUUCACAAAUCUGAAAAUCAUCACCAAACAAGUACCCAGGGAAAUAAUCUCGUCAUAUCCGGACCUCAACGGACGAGCAAUGACGUACUAUCUGGGUAACGUCACGCCCCGGAGCUACACGGAUAGACAGGGAAAUACCAUCUCAUAUCUCAUCAUAUCCGUGCAUGCAUAAUCUAGUCCCCAAAUGACAAAAACACCCAAGCACAUGGCCCAAAGCCUAUGUGUGUACUCAGACGGGCCCCAAAGGCCUGUAUCUCAUCUGUAUCAUUUGUAUCUCAAUAUCUGUUUGUAUCUUAUAUCUGUAUCUCUGUAAUCAUCAUACCGCAUGCAUAUGCCCCCAAAAGGCAAAAACGCCCAAACACAUGGCCCAAAGCCUCUAUGUGUGUUCAGACGGGCCCCAAAGGCCUCUCAUCUCAUAUCACCUGUAUUACUGUAUCUGGAGGAGAAGGAUACUGUCUAAUGAUUUCAAAAACAAUCAUUAUACUCAUAUUCACAUACCUUUUAAUCAUACUUUAAAUCAUACCACAUUCAAAUCCACUUUUCUUAUCUUUAAAAUAUUAUCAUGCUUUAUUCAAAGUCGAUACGCAAAAUCAAUAACCAAACAUUUUAAUAAAAUACCAAUGCGUGAAUAAAAAUCCAUUUCGAGGAAAUCAUUAAAUCAGAACAUUUAAAAUACUUAUUUCACAAACAUGCAUUACUAUCAUAAUUAACUAUGAAAAUAGGUUUUGUAUAUUCCACUCACAGUGACGGUGUUCACGGUCGGUUAUCGUCCACGUCCGCGGACCGGUUCUCGCUCGCGGAUCCUCCUAAAUCAAGGAAACGACAUAAUUAUUUUCCGUAAAUCGGAAUUACGGCUAAAUUUAUGCAAUAAACUCGAAACGAACAUCUAUCCAUAAUUGACAACUCCCGUGUCCAUAAAAUUACUAAAAUGCCCUUGAGUCCGUAAAUCAUUAACACAUACUCUGAAAUUGUACAACACCGAAUUACCCUCGGAAUCGUAAUUACACCCACUCCUCAAUUCUAGGAAUUACUAAAAUAUCCACAGGCUCAGAAAUUACAAAAUUGCUCUCAUAGUGUGAAAUUACCAAAAUGCCCUUGCCGGUCAACGGUCACAGGAAUUUGGUCAACGCUGGUUAGGAAGCUCAAAUCUGAAAGUUCAAAUCACGCUGAGUUCAAUGGUACCGGCGGUGAGCUCCAUGCGCGGCAACGGCGCCGGAAUCGAGCUCGACAGCCGUGAAUUCCAACAAUCGACCGGCGGCAAAAUAGUGACUCUCGGUGCCUAUGGAUGGUCGGAAAUGGAAGAGGGAGUCGUGGGGAACAAGAUCCAACCGGUGGUGUCACCCAAAACCGGCGAAAAUCCCGGCGGAGUAAAGUGAAACAAUCGCGGGUUCAAGCUUCAAUUGCCGGCGUUCCGGUUGGUUUUCGGCGGCGAGGAUGGCACGGGAACGACGGUCGGCUUCUAAGCUUCAGAUUGGUACCAAGCUCGGCUGAAACGGUGGCCGGAAAUGGGAGAUAUGGUCGGGUCAAGGUCGCCGGUUCCGGGUCGAGUUUUCGGGUCCGUAGUUGGAUCGGUUUGGCAGUUUCCCUUCACUCUCUCUCACACGUGCAUGUUUUUACCCUGUUUCCAGCUUAUUCUUUUACUUAUAAACUCCUUAACCGCCUCAUUUUCAUUUUGAAAUUCACAUAUGUUACAUUUAUUACCUUUUGUCCUUCACCUUUAAUUUCUUAAGUUUGACAUCAGUUUUGUUGGCCUCACCCUUGGCUGAAAGCUUUUUCCGUCACGUAGAUCGGUGAAAAUGAUUUGAUUAAUUGUGGCUCGUAGGUAAGAAUAAUUGAUGGUUGUCGAAGUCAGUAAAAAUAAAUACUUACUCUAAAUAAAUUGUGUAUAGUGAUUGAGCAGGGUCGUGUCCACAGAGAUCGGUAAUAUUUAAAUCUUUUUUAAAAUGUAAAUUGCAAAAUGGGGGGAUUGUUGAUAAUAAUAAAAAUCAAAUUAAAAUUGGGAAAAGCUUUAGUUGAAGGAAUUAACUCAGCUUGAUUCGACUACUGAUCAUUAAUUCAAAUAUAAAUCAUUACUACUUAUGAAUAGACCGGUUAUAGCUACUGAGACCCUCUAAUAGCUAAUCUCUCAUUAACUAGUCGAUAACCAAGGUACGACCAUUGGUUAUUUCCCUAAUCAAUAGAUAACCCUAGAUACGAUCAUAAAAUUUAAUCAAUUGACAGCCUGAAAAAUCAGAGAGACCCAAAUCCUAAUCAACAAACGCAUACGAUGGUUCAUUUAAAUUAGAUUGUUUAUUCUCAUAACACAACGCACUACUAUGCUAUUUGUCACAAAUAUUAAAAUCUUCAUACGAUGAAUCCUUUAAUUGACAAUAGAUUAAGUUGAUAAUUAAAUAGUGGCCAAUUAUCUAAUUAACAAACAUAAUCAUGACAAUAAUUUAGAGAAUAAACAAAUACCCAAAAAGUAAUAAAAUAAUUAAAGCAUAAGAAAGAUCUCACAGUAAUGAUGAAUCAAAGCUUCAUUAAUCUUCAACCAGAAUAAUAGGUUUAGUUAUUCACAGAGAAAAGAGAAAAAUUUAGAUCUAGGGUUUUUUUUUUACAAUAGAUUCCCCCCUUUAAUUCUCUCUCCCCUCUUCUCCUCUAGAGUUCUUUUUAAAAUAAAAUACUAAUAUCUAUUAUCUAAAUAUUAAAUUCGGAAUUACAAAAAUAACCAAAAAGAUAAAACACGUUAAACUAAUAACUGCAGAUCCGUAGUUGACAAUACGCGUCCACGCCUUAUCAACAAAGUUCUUCUGAAGCUCAUAAUUUCUCCAGGAAAACAAUCAUCCUAAAAAAUCAUCUUGUAGCUCAACUUUAUUACCAAUCAAUAGAAUUACACCUACAGAAAUAAAACACAAGUAAAUCACUAUUAUUAAGUGCAAAACAUCGAUAUUAAAGAAAGUAAACAAUGCAAAACUAGAGCAUAAAUUGCACUCUAACAAUAAUUAUUGUUUUUUUGUGUUCAUGUUUUUAAUUUAUUGGAUUUAGUUCACAAUUUAUUUUACAACAACUGAAAUAGAUGUUAAUUAGGAUAGAUUCAUUUUCUUGUUUAGUAUAUAGAAUUUUCUACUUUAAUUUAAUUGUAUCUUAAUUUUUUUUUUUGUUUAUAUAUUGUUAUGCAGUGAAUCAAGAGACCUAGGAAGAAAAAAUUAUGGUAUUCAACUUUCAUAAGGAUUCAAUUGCUCAGUCCACAUUAAUUCUAUCUUUUGUCAACACCAAAAUAUCAUUGGAAAGAGUGCCGCGUAGCUUUUGGUGUAUUAUCUUUUAUUUAAUUUUUUGUCAAGGAUUCAAUGACUAAUACAUAUUUAUUUUAUCUUUUAGCAACAUUAAGUCAUUGUAGUAGCAUCAUGCGGCUUUAAGUCAUUGUAGUAGUGUCGUGUAGGAUUUGUAUUUUGUUUAAGUUGCACAUGUGUUUGUUGAAAUUAUUUAUAAAAGAAUAUUAUUCCACUAAUCCAUUGAUUUUUCUUUUUUCCAUGGGGCAAUUAAUAAAAUCAAUUUGGGCCAUAUAUUUGUCAAUUAAUUCACUGAUCAUUUUCCUAGAGGGGAUUAAUAAAAUGAUAAUUUUAACGAUGAAGUAGAAUAAAAUGAGUUUCAAUAAUCAUUUUCUUCGAAAUACUAAAAUUUAAUUAGAAAUAUAAAUUUUUUCAAACUAAAAUAACAUAUUUUCAAUUGCAUAACCAAUUAGAACUAAUAUUUUUCCGAUUUUUUUUCAUCUGUUUUUACCCCUAGAAAAUAGUGUAUUUUUAAGAGUAAUCAGUUAGUUGAAAUUGAUAUUGCAAAUACAACCGCAAUCGAGAAUUCUCUCCUUUACUACUUAAACUAGAAAAUAGAACCGCGUUUCACGCGGCUUUGAAAAAAUUUAGUAUUAUCUUUUUUUCUUACUUUACACUUGAUGAAAUUGAUAAAAAAUAUGAAUUGAUUUUUUUUUUAAGAUGAGGCGGCCUUAUAAAAAAUAAAAAAAGAUAUUAGCCAGCAAUACAAAUAAAGAAGCAACGCAAGAUAAAGAAUAAAAUGAGAUAAUAUAUUAUAGAGUGAUUUUAUUCAUUCUAAUUGUGUGUGUACAAAAUAAAAAGAUGAGCUCUCCUUUUUAUAGUUACAUAAUCACUCCAUGAAAUUAAUGAAAAAUUAUGGAUCAUAAUUCAUUGUGAGAUAGUGGGAGUUAUAGGGAAGCUAAAGGUUGCUAAUGGGAGAUAGUGGGGAGACUAAGAGAUAUAUGUUAUGAACAUCUACAUUUAUUUUAAUAAAUUCAUAACACUCCCCCUUGGAUGUUCAUUACAAAGAAUAUGCCUCAUUAAAAUCUUUACAUAAUUGUUAUUGUGUAAUAACAAUCAAAUUAAUUAUGAAAAGAUGAAAAGCCAAAUCUAAAAGAAAAUUUAUCUAUUUAUUAGAUAAUAGAGAAUAUACAAAGAUGAGAAAUUGUGAUGCCACAUCACCUCCUCAAAUCCCAACUUUAUAUAUAUAUAUAGAUUGGUCAUGAAUAUGAGUCCUCAGUCACAUGUCCAUAUUAAUUUUGAGAAAUUUAUAAAAAUGACCAUAGAACUUUUACGUUUUUCAACUUUAACCCCCCAAAAUUUUUUCUAUCAUAACUAGCCAAAUAUCUUAUUUUUGGACUAGAUUACCCUCAUCACUUUCAUCAAAUUCACAAAGGUAUGCCACUUUUUCAAUUCCAGCACCACUAAAUACGAAUCUUCCUCAACAACUUAACAAACCUUCAUCACUCUCAACAAACUUCAUCACUCUCAAUAAAUCAACAAAUUCCAUCAAACAAACAUUGCAUAAUUGAAGAUACAAUCAUCAAUUGGAGAGCUUCUUAAAAUUAGUUUAUGCUCUUACACAAUGUAAACCUUUAAUCUAUUGAUUUUAUCAACUAAGUUCGAAAUUAAAGUGGGUUUUGUUGCAAAUGUUGUUAUUUUUCAUUCAUAAAACAAUGUGAUUUGUUAAAGUACUUAGUUUGAGUUGAGAAAUGAAGAAAAAUCAUUAAAAAUACAGAAAAAUCGGGCAAAAAAUGAAGUCCAAAACAAGUGAGACAAGCAGUGAGACAUGUGUCUGUCUCACAUAAACCCACUGAUUUUAUGGAAUAUAUGAUUUUGGAUUUGAUUUGUCUCGUCGUAAGCUUCGAAACGGUAUAAUUAUUACAAUAUUUUGGCUCACUACUCCGAACCCCAAUACACAUAAUCUCUCAAAUCACUAGAACAAGAGCUUUUAUUAUUUAAGCUCUACAAAACUCUCUGCUCUACAGGAAAUGCUUCUCACAAAAUUGGAUGCAGAAAUGAGGAGGAGGAACCUCUUUUUAUACCAAAACUUGGCUACUGUUCAUGCUUUAUUUAAUUAUUAUUUUUUUUCUUCUUCCUUUUCGGUCCGGCAUUCAUUUUUUCUUCCUCUUUUGUCUUCUUUCUUCUUUUCUUUUGUUCCGGUCAAAGAAGCAACCAAUGCAUUCUUCUUCAAAAUCAGUGGGCCCACCUUCUAGAAGGGUGGUGCCCACAUGCCAUUUUCAUCAUUAAAUAGAUGAGGGUUGGAAUAGAAUCUUUUCAAUGUGAAUCAUGAAGGAUCUAUUCAAAAUAAAAGUGAUAAAGAUUAAGAAAGAACUUAAGAAGCUAAGAGCUUUUAGAAGUCUUUGAAGAAAUAAUAUUAAUUUGAAAGGAAAAGAAUUUAAAAUGAAGAAGAAAAAGAUAAUUGAUAAGAAGUAAGACUAACUGUACAUCUGAUUGAGGAACAGGCUUGUUAAUUCAAACUAUUAUAACCAAUUGGGAAUUGAAUUAAGUUAACAGUUAACUCGUAAUUGAAUGUCUAAACUAACAAUGUAUACAAUUACAGAUGAGACUAUAAAAUUGCAAAAAUACUGCUGAUUGUGAAUCAAUUUGAACAUGCCAAUCCUUAGGAAUUCCUUUCAGUAUCAUGGGAUUUAGAUCUCAAUUACCUUUUUUAUUUGAGUACGAUGACAUCCCGAACUAUCAAAAAUACCCACUUGUCCAAACGUGCCUAUGUCCACUUUAUCAUUUAUAUAUGAAAUGUUCUAAUUAAAUGGAGCAAGUCCACAUAAUACAAUCAUUUUCAAUUACCCAGCAUUUGGAAUACAGAUGCUUUGUUUCUUCGUUUUUUUUAUUUUUUGUUCUUUUUUAUUUACUUGAUACAACUAAUAAGUAAACUCAUAGCAUUUUCUAUCACCUCUUUUUUUUUUGGGAGUAUUAGUAAAUCAACUCUGUAAUGCUCUGCCUCUUUACCAUAAAAGCUGCAUUUUAAUGGCAUCAGCUUACAGUUAUGUGUACUAAGUAAAACAAUUCUUUAUUGUGACAUUUUCAUCCUCCAGAAAAUACAUAAAUAAAAUAAAGGAAAUUUUAUUUUUGUUAAAAUCCAUGAAUAUUAAUUACUACCUUGUUCACUGUUCAGUAAAAAUAAAACAACAGUUUUUUUUUUUUUUAAUUUAACAAUAUUGUGUUAGAAUAUACUUCCCAGGUAAGGUUGAUAGAAAAAACCAAAUUUCAAUCAGUAUUGGGAUUCUGUCCCAAAACAAGCACUUACUUAUUACAACUUUUACUAACUUAUUUUUCCACCACACAAUUUACUCAAUUUUUAUUUAUACCACACAAUUUAACUUAUUUUAACUACCACUAACUUAAGUUACUUGGCUAGGGUAAAAUUAUGUUGCAACUGUGGUAUGAUACCACAAUUACAAUCAAUCAUUAAAUUUACAGUUGUACAAUUGUAUUUAUUGGACCUAAUGAUUAAAAGUAACUGUGGUAUCUUGCAACAUAAUUGGACCUACUUUGCUAACAUAUUAUAGAAACCAACAUCCCAGAUUUUUCUUAAGAUAUUUCUACAGAUAUUUUAACAUUUUAGAUUAUAAAUUACUUUUCAACACUUAAUUUAAUCACUGAUUGUUGACGACGACGAAGCCAACAAAUUUGUUUCGUUGUGCUAAUCGGACAAGCGAUAAGGACUUCACAAGAGUACAAAACAGAGCCUCGAUCUAAUAAUAUUACUGAACAUAGCAUUUUUGUUUCCUUAUUAAUGGAUUUGUUUCCUUAUUAAUGGAGAGAAGCAGUUCUGUUUUUGCAGUGAUUAAGCGCAUAGAAGAUAUUAAUGGCUUUACUUAUCAUCAUCAACUUCCUUUUGUGUCUCCCCUUCUUCCUCUUCUUCUUUGCUUUGCAAAGGCUCAUAACCUCAAGAAAUAAUACUAAAUUACCACCCGGCCCCUGGGGCCUUCCCUUAAUCGGUAACUUACACCAGUUUGAUGUCUCAAAGCCUCAAGUGUCAUUUUGGGAGCUGUCACGGAAAUAUGGCCCCCUCAUGUCCUUGCGUCUUGGUUUUGUGCCAUCCCUAGUAGUUUCCUCAGCAAAACUGGCUAAAGAGAUAUUAAAAACCCAUGACCUUCAAUUUUGUAGCAGGCCAGCCUUGGUAGGACAACAAAAGUUAUCUUACAAUGGUCUUGAUUUGGCGUUUUCACCCUAUGAUGGUUAUUGGAGAGAGAUAAGAAAAAUUUGUGUCAUUCAUCUCUUUAACUCUAACAGGGUAGAAAAUUUUCGACCCAUUAGAGAAGAUGAAGUUUCAAGAAUGAUUGAAAAGAUUUCAAAAUCAGUUGCUGCUUCUAAUCCCGUAAACUUAAGCGAGGUAAUGAUGUCUCUUACCAGCACCAUUAUUUGUAGAAUUGGAUUUGGCAAGAGGUAUGAUGACGAUAAAGCAACAAGUGCAAGAAGUAGAUUCCAUGCCCUGCUUAAUGAAACUCAAGCCUUGUUUGUAAGCUUUUUUGUUACAGAUUAUUUUCCUUUCAUGGGCUGGAUUGAUAAGCUCACAGGAAUGAUGCAACGCCUGCAAAAUAACUUCCAAGAACUCGAUAGAUUCUACCAGGAACUCAUCGACGAGCAUUUGGAUCCAAACAGAACAAAAUCAGAAUUGGCGCAACAGGAGGAUAUAAUUGAUGUUUUACUUCAAAUACGAAAAGAUCGUGGAUUUAAAGUUGACUUGACUUUGGACCACAUCAAAGCGGUGCUCAUGGUGAAUAAUUUUAUAAAUAGUUAUAUGUAGACUCGUGCUCAGGCGCAGACUUAAAAUUUUGUGCAGAUACCCAAUUUUACAGUCUUGUAAAAUGGUUUAUAAUGCUGUAAAGUGCCUUUGAUGUCCGCCUGAACAUGAUUAAUUUAAUGUAAUUUUAUUUGCUUUUAACUAAUUUACUAUGUAUGUAUGUAUGUUGUUUGUUUUGCAGAACGUACUCGUUGCUGGAACAGACACGAGUGCAGCAACUGUGGUUUGGGCCAUGACUUACCUAAUGAAGAAUCCUAGAGCAAUGAAAAAAGUUCAACUGGAAAUCAGAUCGUUGAUUGGGUGCAACAAAGGCUUUGUAAAUGAAGAUGAUGUUCAAGAACUGCAUUAUCUUAAAGCGGUAGUGAAGGAGACAAUGAGAUUGCAACCCACAGUACCAUUACUAAUCCCAAGAGAAACAAUUCAAAAGUGCGUAAUAGAUGGGUAUGAAAUACCAGCUAAAACACUUGUCUUUGUAAAUGCAUGGGCGAUAGGAAGAGACCCUGAAGCUUGGGAGAAUCCGGAGGAAUUUUAUCCGGAGAGAUUCGUUGAUAGCUGUAUUGACUUUAAAGGGCAACACUUUGAAUUAAUACCGUUUGGUGCUGGCAGAAGAAUUUGUCCUGGGUUGAAUAUGGGAAUCGCAACUGUGGAUCUCGCACUUGCUAAUCUUCUUUACAAAUUUGAUUGGGAAAUGCCGCCUGGAAUGAAGAGCCAAGACUUGGACUUUGAUGUUCUGCCGGGAAUUACUAUGCAUAAGAAGAAUGCUCUCUCUCUUUCGGCUAAGUAUCAUGAGUAGGUAAAUUAAGGCACCUCGGACAAUAAGAGUUUGAUCUGAACUAAAUAUAUGUUAUAGAGAUUGCAUGUAUGUCCUGAAUUGUGCUUCUCAUGUUUCCUUUCUUUCUUCUUAUGUAUAAUGAAUGUUGAUGUCUAAGUGCCCAUAGGCUGAGUGGUUUUUAAUAAUUAAAUUUCUUUUAGUUCAAAAUUUUGGGAGGUAAGGACUAGAGAAUAAUAGUUACUCUGCUCACUCUCCUAUACUAAAAAAAAAAGGUUGAUAUGAAUGUGAAUAUUAAUCUAGUACGUUCAUUUCAUCUCAUAUUUUUUCUCCUAUAUUUUUUUCUUUAAAUUUAACUUCUAUCACUUAACCUGCUAUCUUUUUAUAUGAUUGGAUAGAGAUUGAAAUUUUUGCUGUUCCAUCUCAAUGUUAAUGCUUAUAUUAUCUUCACACCUUUACUGUAAUUUUUUACUUUUACUAUUAGAUGCUGAUAGGGUCUUUUCUUGGAGAUUGCUUCACAAAAAAAAUUCUGAAAGAAGAUUUUGUUGAUCGGAUAGCAAGCUUAUCCAUAUAGUUUAAUGGAUUAUCUGCAAGAGCUCUUUUUAGUGCGCAUACAGUUGUCCCUUCAUGUUAGCAUAUUCAUUCUGUCGUCAAUGAACUUUUGCAUUUAAAUGGUAUCAGUUCAAGUGAUGAAUGAAUUUUACCUAUUGCCUAUCUUGGACUAAAUUUAAUUUCAAAAAAUGAGCUUCCAGCUUAUGACUUAUACGUAUCUUGCACUUUGGUUUUACGAUCACCAUUGGAUGGAAGAGUGGCUCGAGUUUGUUAAUUGCUUCAGUCCCAGGACUAGUGUUUGGAAACAUAAAAUUUCUCAGUUCAGCAGCUAUAAAUCUGUUUCAUGAUUGUUAUUGCACACUAUUUCCUAUAUUUUUGUCUCCAUGCUCAUACUGAAUUAGUGGUGCAUUUGUCAUCUUUCGCCUCUCAUUAAAAUGUGCUUAUUAUUUUUUAUUUCAAUCGUAGGAUGGGAAGAUUGAUACUGAUUCCAUCUACAAUGGGUUUAAAGACAACGUGAGGUUAAUGUGGGAGCGUUUCUUGUCAUCCCAGCAAAUGUUGACAUAAACAACAGACUGCAAGCUUCCCCUACUCUCUGUUCAUAUUUGCAUUUGUGUGCAUCUUGUACUUGUUGUUGCAGAAAGAUGAAUAUGUAAGAAUAAGAUCGUGUUUGUAUGCAAUGGUCAAAUGUUUUUGCAAAAAAUGUCGUUGCUUGAGUUCCUCAAUUCUCAUUCUGAACUUCAAAUUUUGUACAUUUCUUUAACUUAAUUUUUUUUUUUUCUGUGUAAUAGUAGUAUAAGUUUGGUAUCAAAAUUAAGCUAGUGACAUACUUGGAUCACUUGGGAUCCACUUGCAAAUGUAUUUUGAAGAAAAGUUUUCUCCCCGCCUUUUAUGUAAUCACACCCACCAGUAAUAUGGUAAUUUAUUGAAAGGUCCUUGAUGCCCGGUAAAAGUUAUAAUUAAAUUAAUAAACUUAUCUUUUUAAAUUAAUAAACUCAUCUUUUUGAAUAAGUUCAUCAUUUUGUACGUAUAUUAGUUUUUUUUUUUUAAAUUCCUUUUAUUUCUAAACUAUUGGUUGGAAGCAAAUAUUUCACUGUAAUCUCCUGUCGACCAAAGGAGAUGCCUUUCCCAAAGCAAGAAAAGAAAACACAAAAAGCCCACUUCAAAAACUUGUGCAAGAAGGAGAUGUGAUUACGCUGUCUUUCUGUUUCUUGGUGCGUGUAUAGAUAUAUACAUACACACAUAAGUCUGAGGACCAGCUGGCCAACAGCCCACUAGGAAGCAAUUUUAAAAUUUUUGGUCAGUAUUGUUCUUUAUAUCUUAUGAAUUUUUCCUUCAAUUAUUAUAUUUUCACUCAGUUUUGUUUUUGGGCACGCGUUAUGUGAUUUUCUUUUGAUGAUUUCCGUGGCUUCUUUUUAGCUCUUAUUUUACUGUUUCUACUGGUUAGUUUAGCUACUGUCUACUGAGAUAAAAUUAUUUGCUUGAAUAACUUAAUCUUUUGCUAUUUUAUUACGUUCAGUUUAUAUACAGUUGAUUCAUUGUAACAAAUGUUAUCAUAAAUGAUUCUUGAGUAAUUUCAUUUAUUUACUUUUUCUUCUUUCAUAGUUGGCCUGUACGGUAUCAUUUACUUUUAUCUUUUUUCAAAUUUCUUUUAAUCUACAGAAUGUUUGUUUUAGUCCUGAUCUUGGGUUACUGAAAUGUUUCAUUCCCUUUUCCUAAGUAUUUUUGUUGCUUGUUUAUCGGGCAAUACUGCAACAGUGAUUUUAAUUCACAAAAUUCUGUAAAUACUUAUUAUUCUUAGUGUGGUUUUAAGGUAGAGUGAAGUUAAUAUUAUCAUAAUGGCUUACAUUCCUCCACAUAUGAGGCAUACGAAGGACCCCCAGAGGCCAUCUCCAGUUCCAGAGAUGAUUGUGCCUAAAUUCAACAGAAAAUUAAACUUGGGAUCAUCCAAGCAUAAUGCAGACAUAAGUGGAAAGAUCGUGUAUGCAGAUCCUGCCAUACACAGGUGGUUCAUUUGUGGCUUGGAUAAUGAUAGCAGCAGUCCUUCUGUCCGCUUUGUGGAGUUUUCAGACGACCCUGUUGAGCAUAAAAAAUCGACGACCAUUAAUCUGGCUCGAGGUUACUGAUCUGCAUUUGUAAUUUUAUCUUAAAUAUGUUCUACUUUCUUUCUUUAUUUAUAUCUGGUGCUAACUUUAGUUAUAUUGACAUUUGGAUUUUGGGUUGGUAGAUAACGAUAAAUUGUGUGGGAAUACAUCAAGAAGCCCAUGGGAAUCGAUAGCAGAAAAUGUAUGGCCAGAUGUAUUGAGUGCUUGUAAUAUUGUCAAGAACGAAAUGGAGGAAAAGCCAACAAUGGUUGCUAGAUUUGGCCAUCAUCUUUUCCGUGAGUAUGUGAUCUGGUUCCAUUGCUGUAACAGCUUGAAUUUUUUAUUAGGUCAUUCCUUUUCUUUGGACUUUGAAAUUAAAGCAGCAAAAAUGCAUAUUCAUACUUAAUUCUGACAGAAAUCUUAUGGUCAUAUAAGUGGUGGCAGCUAAAAUUAUGAGCUUUACCAUUAACCCUACCACCAGCUGUGGAUGACUGUAAAUCGGAUCUCUAAACCAGGGACAAAAGUUAAAAUUGCUUUUAAAAGCCAAAGAGGAAAAUGGCAAUUUAUAGUGCAUGCACUUCUUUCAGACUUGUAUCUCAUAGAAGCUUUCAUGGCAUCUGGAAUUUGGCUUUGGCUUUGCGUAGGACAUUUCAAUUGUUGCUGGUGGAAACAAAUAUAUCCAUUGUCUUAGUUUUGCUUGAUUUCCGGUGCAAGAAACAAAUAAAUUUGUUGCCGUGGCCAAGUUUUGUUGUUUGAUAUUUCAUUGGGACAACAAAGUAUACCACUGCUUCGCCUAUUUCUUACAUCUUUGCAUCAUAUAUUUCCAUUCUUCUAUCACAUCUUUGAAGCUUCUACUAGUUCUCAUAUUAGAAGCGCCUCAAAGAAAUAAUUAUUAUAUUAUUCGUCUUAAUGAAGGAGUGACAUACUGAGCUUAGAAAAUGCGAAAGAAGGUCAGGUUGCUGAAUCUGCUUUGAGCCCACUGAGGAGAUGCUUUUACACUGGUGUCCCUCCUACAUACAUGGGAAAAAUUGUAAAUGAAGUUGUGCCAAAAAUUGGGGUUGGUUUUGUAGAGAACAAGGAUAUAUACCAUGUCAAGGUAGUUCUCCUGCAGUCCUGCUAAAUACUUUAGUAGUCAUGACCAAGUUUCUUUUAUCUCUCAAUUAAUUAGCCAUUGAUUCCCCCCCCCCCUUUCUUUUUCUUGUGUAGUUGUCUGAUGGCACACGACAAAUUACGUGCAAAUGUACUGUUAAAGAAGAUCAAAAGCUUCAUCUCUAUAAGGCAAGUCUUUUGCUACUGGCUGAGUAUUAUUUAUGGACAACGGGUCCAAGUUUAUAAGUUGCCUCUUGUGUUAAGGAGACUUUUGCUAGUGGAAACAUUGAAACAAGACUUAUGAUGUUUUGAUUUGAAUGAUAUAAUCUUUUCACUGUGAAUUAUGAAGGAGAUGUCGAAUAUAAGCGAUAGAUAUCAAGAAAGAGACGAAACCUUUGUGUCUCAAAAGAACCUUUUAGAAGUCUCUCCAGGAAUAAUCUCAGUUAAGAGGAAAAGAAUUUAAAAUGAAAAGAAGGAAGAAAAUUCUCAAGAAGUAAGACUAAUUCUACAUCUAAUUGAGGAACAGGCUUGUUAAUUUAACAAGGAAAGCUCCAGUAGCUAUUUAUUAUAAACCAAUUAAAAAUUGAAUUAAAUUAAUAGUUAACUUGUAAUUGAAUGUCUAAUCCAACAAACUAUGCAUAAGAUUACAGACGUAACUAUGUAAUACAAAAAACCUCUGCUUAUUGUAGACCAAAGUGAAUAUGCCAAUAUUUAGGAAUUUCUUUCAGCAUCAUGGGAUUUAGAUCCCUAUAAUCUUUUUUUAUUUUAGUGUAGUGACGUCCGGAAGACCAGAAUUAUCACGUACCUCGUACUAGUCGUUUUAUUUAUUUUGUCUUUUAAAGCGCCACAUUAUUUCCCAUACAGUCAUAAUAUAUCUAUUUUUUGUUUAUUUAUCGUUGCCGUGUGUGGAGUCUCAUCUUGAAUAUGAACAUUUUUCCGGUAGGUCGAACUGAACUCUGUUCGUCACAUGGUAGCAGACAUGUUAUGCGUUCAUAAAAAUCUAGACCUGAGGUUGGCACUAUGUUCAAAGAGUACCUUAUCUGCUCUCUCGGUAAGUCAAUCUGCUCCUCCGUGCAUGUUUUAGCUGGACUUUUAAGUUACGCCUUCUUUUUUCCCCUUUUUAUUUUAUUUGGUCAUUUGCUUGUUGGAAUCAUCAUCAUUACAGAAUGAUGAAGAAAAAUUCAAGACCAGGGGAAAUAAGGAAAUAUUAAACUUAUAGCUUUUGUUUUAUCAUAGAAAGUUUACUUUCAAGGGGUUGAGAAAAAAUUUAUAUAUAUAUAUAUACACACACACAUACACACACACACACACACACACACGACAAGCUUAAAACGGUUAAACAUUAGCAUGCAUGAUCCUUUUCUUCAAAACUGAAACUUUACAAAUGUUAAAAAUAGAAUAACAAAUAAAUUAUUAGAUUUCCAAAAUCAGUUACCGUUAUGCAGGCUUAAAACAAAAGUUAAAUAUAAGCUCUUUUUUUUUUUUUUGGGGGGGGGGGGGGGGGGGGGGCGUGUGUGCCUAUGAGUAGUCCCAGCAAAUGAAUUCUAUGAUCAAACUGAAAUUUUUGAAUUUUCAGGAUGAUGAAAUGAACAGCAUUAGAAUUCUGAUUAAUUCAGCCAUUCCGGAUCCGGAAGUCAAGGGUGGGUUAAGAUGGCCCAUGGGGAAGUCAUAUUCAGGGGAUUACACAAUUGUUGGGGUUUGGCACAAUGAAUUUAAAUCAUAUAAAAGCCCAUCACUAAAGCUUAAGGUAAGAAAUGUUGAUCGAUUUAUUUUCAAGACUGGAACUGGGGAAGCUACGAUUGAGAUUAAUCUAAAGUUGAGAAGACUAGUUUCAGAGAUUCAGGUACUUGCUGCUUUUUGCUUUAACUUUUAUCACAAAACCUACUAUCUUUGUGCAUGAUUACAUGGAUCUUGAAAUUCUUGCUGUUAUGUCAUAAUGUUAAUGCAUAUUUUGUCUUCACGCAUUUCUUACUGAACUUGUGUCUUGAGCUGUAAUUGUAAUUUCCAAUUUUUACUAUUAGAUGGGUAUUUUAUUGGGGAUUUCUUUACUUAAAAAAAAAAUAUGUUUGACAGAGAAUAUUUUAACGAUGAGAUUGCAAUAUUGUAAUAGAUAAUCUUCAGGAACUCUUUUUACCUUUUAGUAGUUAUGCAGUUGCUCCUCUGUGUUAGCUUAUUUAUUCUAUCAUAUGUAACGAAUGACUUUUUACCAAAUUUGAUUUCAAAGCUGAGCUUCCAGCUUAUGACUAAUAUUUGUGUCUUGCACUUUUGUUUUACAAUCACCAUUAGAUGGAAGAGUGCUUAGAGUUAGUUAAUUGAUUCAAUCCCAGGAUUAGUCUUUUGAAACAUAAAAUUUAUCGGCUAAGCUAUAUAAAUCUGUUUCAUGUUUCUUAUCGCACACUAUUUCGUAUGGCUUUGUCUCCAUGCUCAUACAAAAUUAGUGUUGUAUUAGAUGUCUUCUGUCUUUCAUUCACAUGUACUUAUUACUUUUUCUUUCAAUCGUCAGGAUGGGGAGAUUGAUACUGAUUCCAUCUACAAUGGGUUUAACGACAACUUGAGGUUAAUAUGGGACCAUUUCUUGUCAUGGGAGUCAUAACUUUUGACAAAAACAACAGAUUGCAUGCUCUCCCCGCUCGGUUCAUAUUUGCGUUUGUGUGCAUCCUGCAGUUGAAGAUGUAGAAUGAUGUAAAUGCAAGAAUAAGAGCAUGUUCGUAUCCAAUGGUAAAAUGUUUUUGCUAAAAUGUAUGGACUUGUAACAGCUUGUUGCGUGAGUUUCUCAAUCUCCUGAACCUCAAAUUUUGUCCUAUUUUCACCCCGGCUUUUUCCCCCCGUCCUCUGUAAUAGUUAUAUUUGGUAUAAGUUUGGCAGUUCCUGUGUAAAGUGUUUCAUAUUCAUGUGUGGAAUAAAUAUCAACAUCCAGAUACAAGAAAGUUUGAUUUUAUUUGUAAGACCUGUCUCUCAAAGUUAAUCUAGUGACAUGCUUGAAGCACUUGGGAUCCACUAGUUGGAUGUAUUUUUGUUAAGAUUUAUUUAGCAUUUUGUAUGUGUAUCAGUGCCUUUUUUUUUUGUUGUUAAACCGUUGGUUAGAGGGCAAAUAUUUCACAUUAAAGUGGGGUCUGCUUGCCACCAAGGGAGAUGCCUUUCCCAAAGCAAGAAACGAAAACUCAAAAGCCCACUUCAUAACUUGUGUAAGAAGGAGAUGUAAUUGACAUAUGCUGUCCUUUUUCUUGGUGCGUGUAUGUGUGUGUAUACACACUUAAUUCCGAAGAUCAACUGAGCCAACAGCCAAAACUUGAAAGCAAUUUUAAAAUUUUCGGUUAGUAUUGUACUUUAUAUCUUUUGAAUUUCUCUUUAAUUUAUUAUAUUUUCACUUUAGUUUUGUUUCUGGGUACUCUUUAUGGGCCACAAUUAUGGUACCACUGUGGUACCAUACCACAGCUGGAUCCAGCCAUUGGAUCCGGCCUACAGUGGUCCCCAUAGCUGGAUCCAAUGGCUGGAUCCAGCUGUGGUAUGGUACCACAGUGGUACCAUAGCCGGACCCCUCUUUAUGUGCUUUUCUUCGAUGAUUUUGGUGAGCUCAUAUUUUACUGUUUCCACUGGUUAGUUUAGUUAUUGUCUACUAAGAUAAAAUUAUUUGCUUCAAUAACAUAGAGUAUUGAGGUGUUGUAAUUUAAAAUUUUAGAAAAAAAUAUAUUUAUAAAAUAAAAGUUAAUAGUAUGUGGUAAAUAUAAUUUUAAAAUAAUAAUUUUAAUAAAAUUAGUAAAGAUAUAAUAGAUUUUCAUCAUAUAAAAGUAAAAUCAAAUCAACUUAAUUUCUAAACUACAUAAAUUAAUUUUUAUAAAACACUUUAGUGCUGUAACUACCCAACCUCAAUCUAAAGUAUAGCCUUAAUUGUUUGCUAUUUUAUUAUGUGAUUGUAUAUAGAGUUAAUUAAUUGUAUCAAAUGUCAUUAUAAAUGAUGCAUGAGCAAUUUCAUAUUGUUUUUCUUUCCUUCAUUGAUAAUUGGCUUGUCGGAUAUCUUUGAACUUUUUUUUUUCGCCUCAAAGUUCUUUUAGUCUGCAGAAUGUUGGUUUUAGUUUCGAUCUUGGUUACUGCAAUAUUUCAUUCAUUCUUUCUAAGCAUAGUGGGUUCAUUUCACAAAAUUCUGUAAUAAGUACUUAUUGUAGUUUAAGGUAGCGCGAAGUAAUAUUAUCGUAAUGUCUUACAUUCCACCACAUAAGCAGCAGUUUGUAAUCAAGACUGCAGAGAAUCUUGCAGAUAUAUUGACUAAGGUGGUGACGACAAUUAAGUUUGAGCAUUAUCUAAACUUGAUCAAUAUCUUACAAGUUUGAAAAUAGUCAGAGAAGACAGAGACUGGAGGAUGGUUUGUUGAUAGUCGGCUCAGAUUUACUAAAUUUUCGUUAAGGUAGAGAAUUGUUGAAAAAUCAAGCAUGCUUGCAUGAGCUAGCUAGCAUGCAAAUUUCAAGCCCACCAAUGUUCAGCUAGCGUGAUCCAAUUGCAUGUGCUAGCAUGAUCUCUUCGUCAAAAGUCACACCAAAGCCAUUAAAAUUGAAAAUGGCCAAAGUUUUUUUUUCAUGCAUUUAUAUUGUAAGAUUUGCCUAUAAAUAGAGGAGUAGAAUGCAUUUGUAAAGCAUCCCAAUUUGUGAGAAGUAGAGAGCAAUUGCAAGUGAGCUCUUUGAGAGAAUUUGAGAGAGCUUCCACUUGAGUGUUCUAGUUGUUGUGCAAAUUUUAAUGUACUCGCAAGCGCACGAAUCUAUUGUAGUAUAGAUCAAUGGUGACGAGUGUCGAUCCCACGAGGAGGUGGAUUUUAAUUGUGUAUAGAAUUAAUUUUGUAAAUGGGUGGUUGGAUCUGUGGUGGAAAUGAAUUGGAAUAUGCUAAAACUUAAAUUAAAAUGGCGAGAAUAAAUUCUAAAAUUGGAAUUGCAAUGGCGAGAAUAAAUUGAAGAGAAAUGUAUUGAAAUGACGUACUUGGGUAUCUGGAUCCGUAUCAACAUGCAUCAUGGGCUAAAUAAUCCGUAUUAAUGCCAAUUAAAUCAUGAGGGGGGAAUCCACACCUCAUGAACCACGCUCUAAUCAAUAUGGUGCUAAGGGCUUAUCGUGCCAAAUAAUAAUAACCUUAUACUAGAGAGCCGGUGUAACCAAGGCGGUAUCUAGACAAGAUCAGUAUUAUUUGUCGACGAUAAGUCAAAUCAUCCACAAAAACUAGAGGGGAAAAGAAAAUAAAUUUACCAAAUAAAGCCCAUGACACAUGUUGAGACUUCACCUUCAACCCAAGCUUGAAAGGAAAUUAGCUACUCAUAAUUGAACUAGGGGCAAAAUGAAAAUUUAUUAAAAUACGAAGAAAAUACAAGAUGGAGAAGGAAUUACAGAAAAUGGAUCCCAAAAAUGGAUUCAGAGAUAUCAAAUUAGGGGGGGGAGGCCCCUUUUUUAUAGAUACAUGGAGUAAAUCAUGGCCAUCGGAUUAAAAACAGUUUGGACGCUCAGGAUUGCGCCACGUCAUCAGUCAACAGUCCACGGUUUGACCACGCGGAUGAACAGUAACACGGUUUGACCACGCGGAUGAACAGUAACGCGGUUUGGUUGAAAAUAAUCCUGUGUGAUGCAUGCACCGUACGCGAGAUUUUUCGUCCACUGAUAUGCUGCCACGUCACCAUCAACAGUACAUAAGAAUUUUAGUCCAACAGGAUCGUGACACCUCAUCAGUCAAUGCCACAUCAUCGGUCAAUGCCACGUCAUCGAUCCGUCUAUGUGAACAGUGUCGUGAACAGUAACGUAGACAGUACCGUAUACGUGAAUAGUACCGUACAUGUGAAUAGUGCCAUUUUUCUUUUUAUGCCCCUCCUAAGGUUUUCGACCGUCCUGAGUUCAAAAGUGAUGUCCGUUUUGCCAUCUGAUCUCUCCUUUAUUGUGAAAUAACUAUAAUGCCCCUAAAAUACAUAAAAUACUUAAUUAAAAUAAAACACAUGUAAUUAAAUCACAAGAAGGUUAAAUACAUAAAAGUAAGGGUUUUUAAUAAGACUUGAAAUGUAAAAUGACGGUUUUCUCCUUUAUAAAUAUGCAUUUUCUAACACUCAACACACCCCCCAACCAGCUUAUUGCUAGUCCCUAGCAAAUAAAGCGAAAACAAAAUUCAAAUUCAAAAUGAUUUUUUUUUUUUUUUUGAACUACUCGUGUUUAUUCAAUCAGAUUAAUGAUAGCAAUCAAAUAAAAGUAUAAGCAUUAUCUCCAGUCUAAAGCAACAUCACACCCACAUCAACCAUCCACAUGAAUUAGCCCAGUAGACUUUGUUAUAGCUACUUUCAAGAAUGACAUGUCAAACCCCAAAAUCUCACUUGAAGUAGUGACACUCUCACAAAGAAAUUAAAACCCAAUAAACAUAGUCACUCCAAUGAAUGGUAAUUGAGAGAGAAAAUAAUAAAGAAAUGAUAUCACAUGCUCUCACCAAGAUGAAAUAAAUAUGCCCUCAGCUUAGAAAUAAUGCGAUCUCAAGUCAAAUAAAAUGUUAGUCAACCCACUUUAUUUAUCUUUUUUUUUUAUUAUUAUUAUGCAUCACUACAUCUUUUUAGCCCAUAUAACUAGCUUCUACUUCAAACUAUAGUUCCCUAAAAUCAAGAAGGACUUUUAUUAGGACGUAACGUAGGCUAGGGAUAUGGCUAACAAAGAAAGGAAAUAAGGAAAACAAAGUGUAUGUUUGAAAAAAAUGCAGAAUUUUUUUUUUUUUUUUUUUUUUGGAACUUGCAAGGUGGAUUUCACCUAUUAUUGUUAUUUUUAUUCUUUUGAAACAACAACUUUUGUUUUUGUUUUUGUUUUUUUUGUUUUUUUUUUUUGCUUUUAUUUGGCAUAACUUCACUGAACAACAUAAUUAUUUACAUUUUCUCAAACAUAAAUAGGUGAUGGAACUUAAAAGACAUUGGGUAAUACUCCAAAUCGGAGUGGGUCAAGAUGAUAAGUUGACAAAGAAAAGGUUUUUGUUCUUUUUUUUUUUUUUUUUUUUUUUUUUUUUUUUAAGGCUCAAAAGGGGUAACUAUGGAUAUUUAAUAAAAGGGAUGGCUAGAAAGGCUCAAACGGAUCAAAGAUGGCCUUUCUAUCGUCUUUUAGGGCUCUAAAUAAUUAUCCAUAUCUACUAGUUAGAUGGGCCUCCCAAUGUAGCAACACACAUUUUUUUCUUUUUUCUUUUUUUUUUUAAUUUUACCAUAUUUUUUUUUUUUUAAAAGGGUUAACUUAAAAGAAAUCUAGAGAUCGUGUAUAAAAUAAUAAACUGCUAAGCUGUAUAGAGAAUGGGUAAAAGGGUUACUCUCCAAGAAAAUGAUAGGCUCAACUACUCACUUGGCACUUAUUUAUGACAUGUUCAUUCCUUCAAGCAACUCAUAUUUGUCUCCGACAUCAACAUGUAAAGUAGCAAACAUAGCGUAACAUCACUUAAGACCAAAGAUAAUACAAAUACUAAAAUUUGAAAUUAGUCAUGUCAUCCAAUGUUAAAACAAAUAACACAAUUUUUUUUAAACAACAUUCUACCCCCCAACCUAUUCUAAACAUGAAAGGAAAAUAUGCAUGCAGAAAUGUGAAAAUGAUGUAGAAAAAUUAAUUAGAAAAAGAAUUUUUUUUUUUUUUUUUAAACUAAGAAGAUGCGUUUCUAGAGGCACUACACUCCAUAUUCAGCCAUCUUCGACUCAAAAAUUUGAAACUACAUAUUUAUAAAGGAGAAAGAGGAAGAAAACAGGUUUUUUUUUUUUUUUUUUUUAAAACGAUGAAGAUGCGUUUCUAGAGUAACUACACUCCAUAUUCAGCCAUCUUCAACAUAAAAUGUUAGCAACAGUUAGUUUCUACAACAAAAAAUCAGUAAAAACUUAACCAAGAUUCCACAAUUGUCGACUAUUCCCUUCCCCCAACUAGAACGAAACAUUGUCCUCAAUGUUUUAAAGGAAAGAAGUAGAGUUUAGAAGACAUCACCUGGGUGGUGCAACACAGAAGAAAAUAUUUACAAGCGGAGAGUUAAAUCUAAUUUGUACUUCUUACUGCGGCUACUGUUACCAUCAUUAUUUGGUCGCUCCAACACAAAGGUCCAGGGGUCUGGCUCCGGUUUAUAAGCUUGUAACAUAUCAAGUAGCUCAUUAGCAGUGUGAGCACAAAUAAAGAGUUUUUUCACAUUAGAAGGAAUGAAAUAGUUUUUUAUUGCAUGGUUAAGAAAUGCGAUAAAGUCAUCAUAAAAGUUAUUGACAUUUAACAAACCGAUAGGUUUCUGGUGGAUGUGCAGAUGGGCCCAAGAUGCUAGUGUCAUAAGUGCCUCUAGUGUUGCAAGAUCUCCUGGAAGGAAAAUAAAAGCAUCAGCAUGAUUAAGCAUUUCAGUUAUUCUUUCUUGCAUACCUGAGACGACUAACUCUUCUCCAGUUGAUGAGUCAGACGAACUGCCCAAUGGUUUUAGGACUCUUGGGAUGAUGCCUAACACUUGACUUCCUCUGAUAAAAGCUGCUUCUGAGACCAUUUUUGAUAACCCUCGGUUACCUCCUCCAUACACCAAAUGUAAUUUUCUCGCUGCUAUGCUUCGACCAAGAUCUAUGGCUGCCUCAACGAACUCUUUAUGUUUGCCAUAGGUAAAUCCAGAAAGCACACAAAUGUUCUUGAAUUGUCUAUUGGGAGUAGCGGCCAUUGUGAUACUUCUCAAAAAUAAUUUGUGAGUGCUUGACAAAAAAUAGAUCACAUUUAAGAAUCUUGGUGACAGUGGAUCACAGCUGUGAAUGAGGUAACAUGUCAGUGUGAAAUAACGCGUGAAGCACAUGGCUUGCGAGUCAAAAAGGAAACAGUAAAAAGGAAAAAGCAAACAGUAAUAAAAUUAUUAAAGACAAUAAUGCAAACAAUAAAACAACAGUGAAAUGAAAUAAAAUAACAGUAAAGUAAAAUGAUAUUUACACGUAGUUGCGACUGUGGCUCACAUCUUCCUCUGGUUUUACGUCCAGAAACGGCUUGAACGCCCUCUAUGGGUCGAGGAUGGGCUUCCCAUCCAGUUUUCUUAUAAACUGGCAAACAGGGUCGUUUAUAGUCAGAUUCCCGAGACUAUAUCGUGCAUGCUCUUUCUGGAAUAAUGGCCAUAACCGGAGAAUCGCUCCUUGCACAUAUCCACUGGGAUGCGUUUCAAGAGACAAAAGGAUAUCAUCCAAUGACUCCUUAUUCAAGCCAUCCCUAAUGAAUUGAAUCUUAUCUUCCCUGUUAUCAGACACCAUUCCUAAAGAACAUGGGUUUCUAUCGCAACUCAUUCUGGCACACUUAUGACAAGCAACAGAAAUUCUUCGAGCUCGUCGUUUUCUUGCAUAAUUGCCUUUACCACAACCAGGCAUGUAUGCAAUAAAUUUAUGAGGUAACUCACCUGCCAAUCGUACUUUAGCCUCGAUUAACCAACGGAUGUCUGCAGGUAUGUUAUUCCUCAUGAGCAAUCGCAUGCGUUCAGACCGGGCUUUAUAGAUUGUAAGGAGGGCAUUCUGAGGAAGUGAAGGGAAUCGCUUGUGAAGCUUUGCUAAAAUCUCGUUUCUAUCCAUACCUUCGCCUCAGAAUAUCAGUUAUUAUGGGAAACUGAAGUUAACCGACUUGAUUGUCACGGAGUACCGUUAUCCGCCACUUCACCGGGGUAACAAACUAAAGCACACAAACAGAAAAACAAAUUAAAACACACAAAGAAAAUUAAAAUCGUCCUCUUAUUGAAUUUACCUCAAGCUCCAACUGGAUGUCGUAAACACUUCUCUCAAUGUCUCUGAGUUGGCGUUCUAAACCCUCAACAUAGGCUACUAACUCUGGUGGUUGUAGAGCCCAAAUGCGUUGUGUUUUACAAAAUAGAAUCUGCCUUUUGAGAUGAGUUUUGACACGUUGAAGUGGUUUAAGAAUGUUCAGGAGGAACGGUCUAAGUAUGAGACUCAUGAUUAAAAAUGAUAAGAGAAAACUUAAUUGUUAAACAAACACACUUAUGCAAAAAUAAUUUCAAUUAGCAAAAGAAUAAUAAAAAGAAAGAAAGAAAAAUCAAAUCAAUAAAAAGAGAAAAAAAAAAUUAAUUCAAAUCUGGUGGGUCACUCAAAUUUAUUUCGGUGUCUUCUUCAUGUGGUUGGUACUCUAGAUAUGGCUUUAAUCUUUGACCAUUAACUUUAAACGUGACACCGUUCUUUGGGUCUUUAAUUUCAAUUGCCCCAUGUGGAAAAACAGUAUGAACAAUAAAGGGACCAGACCAUCGAGAGCGUAACUUACCUGGGAAUAGGUGCAAGCGAGAAUUGAAUAAAAGCACUUUCUGACCUGGAGUGAACGAUUUUCUCAUAAUUUGCUUAUCAUGGAAGACUUUCAUUCGUUGCUUGUAAAUCUUGGCAUUUUCGUAUGCAUCAUUGCGAAUUUCUUCAAGUUCUGCCAGCUGUAAUCUUCUUUCUGAGCUGGCUUGCUGCAUGUCAAAGUUGAAUUUCUUGAUGGCCCAAUAUGCACGAUGCUCGAGUUCCACAGGUAGGUGGCAAGCUUUUCCAUACACUAGCCUGUAGGGUGACAUCCCAAUCGGGGUCUUGAAAGCCGUUCUAUAUGCCCAUAAUGCAUCAUCAAGUCGUAAUGACCAAUCUUUUCUGUCUGGCCUCACCGUUUUUUCUAAUAUGUGCUUGAUUUCUCGAUUGGAGAUCUCAACUUGGCCACUGGUUUGCGGAUGAUACGGGGUCGCCACUUUGUGUGUGAUUGAAUACUUUGUCAAAAGAGCUUUGAAUGUUUUGUUACAAAAGUGGGCACCACCAUCACUGAUUAUCGCUCGAGGGAAUCCAAAGCGUGAAACAAUGUUGCUUUUCAAAAAUCCUAUCACCACUUUGUGAUCAUUGGUUCUGCAUGGAAUUGCUUCCACCCAUUUCGAUACGUAGUCAACACCAACCAAUAUGUAUUGAUGGCCAAAAGAAGGGGGAAAGGGUCCCAUGAAGUCGAUACCCCAUACGUCAAAAAUCUCAACCACUAAAAUUGGAUUUAGUGGCAUCAUGUUCCUUCGUGUAAUGCUCCCCAUUCGUUGACACCUAUCACAUGAAGAACAGAAAGUGUAAGCGUCUCGAAAUAUAGUUGGCCAAUAGAAACCACAUUGUAAAACUUUUGUAGCUGUUUUCUUAGCACUAAAAUGGCCUCCACACGCUUGUUCAUGGCAGAAUGAAAGGAUAUUUUGAAUUUCACUUUCUGGGACACAUCGCCUAACAAUUUGAUCUGCACAAUACUUGAACAAAUACGGGUCAUCCCAAAAGAAAUUCUUUAUUUCCGCAAAGAAUUUAGCCUUGUCUUGCUUGGUCCAAUGCUCUGGAAGUUUACCUGUAACAAGAUAAUUAACUAUAUCAGCAUACCAAGGUAAUACUUCCACAUUCAUUAAUUGUUCAUCUGGAAAUGACUCAUUCAAUAUUAAUGGAUCUGUAAUUGUGUCAAAAUGGAGACGAGAGAGGUGGUCCGCCACAACAUUUUCUGUGCCUUUCUUAUCCUUGAAUUCCAAGUCGAAUUCCUGCAAAAGUAACACCCAACGAAUUAGUCUAGCUUUUGCAUCUUUCUUUGUGAGAAGAUAUUUAAGAGCAGCAUGAUCUGUGAAUAUAAUUAUUUUACAACCAAUGAGAUAAGAUCGAAAUUUCUCUAAUGCAAACACUACUGCUAGCAUUUCUUUUUCAGUAGUUGAAUAAUUCAACUGUGCAUCAUUCAAUGUCAUACUAGCAUAGUAAAUAACGUGGGGAAUUCGAUCAACUCUUUGUCCUAAUACUGCUCCUACUGUAUAAUCAGAUGCAUCACACAUGAGCUCAAAUGGUAAGUUCCAGUUUGGGGCCUGAAUGAUGGGUGAUGAUGUCAACAACUGCUUUAAUUUUUCAAACGCCAUGAGACAUGAAUCAUUAAAGAUAAAAGGUACAUCCUUAGCAAGUAAAUUGCAUAAGGGUCUAGAAACUUUGCUAAAAUCUUUAAUGAAACGUCUAUAAAAACCAGCAUGUCCAAGGAAAGAUCUUACUUCUCUGACUGUUUUAGGUGGAGGAAGAUUAGAAAUGAGAUCCACCUUGGCUUUGUCAACCUCAAUACCUUUGCUCGAAAUGAUGUGACCGAGAACAAUACCUUGUUUUACCAUAAAAUGGCACUUCUCCCAAUUCAAGACUAAGUUCUUCUCGGUACAUCUCUGCAGAACUAGCGUUAGAUGAUGUAAACAUUGAUCAAACGAGUCACCAAAGAUAGAAAAAUCAUCCAUAAAGACUUCAAGGAAUCGUUCAACCAUAUCAGAAAAAAUGCUCAACAUGCAUCGUUGGAAUGUAGCAGGUGCAUUACAUAAUCCAAAUGGCAUUCUCCUAUAUGCAAAAGUGCCAAAAGGGCAAGUGAAAGUAGUUUUCUCCUGAUCUUUUGGUGCUAUGGGAAUCUGAUUAUAUCCUGAGUAGCCAUCUAGAAAGCAAUAAAAUUCAUGGCCUGCUAAUCUAUCAAGCAUUUGAUCAAUAAAUGGUAAAGGAAAAUGGUCUUUACGUGUGACAGAAUUCAACUUUCUAUAAUCAAUGCAUACACGCCAUCCUGUAGUUACUCUAGUUGGUAUCAAUUCAUUAUCAGCAUUGGUAACUACUGUGACUCCUGACUUUUUGGGGACGACUUGUACAGGACUGACCCAUGAACUAUCAGAAAUUGGGUAAAUGAUACCUGCAUCUAAUAGCUUAAGGACUUCAGUUCUAACAACUUCUUUCAUGUUAGGAUUUAACCGACGUUGCAUCUCCCUAGUAGUUUUAGCAUUUUCAUCAAGGUGAAUGUAAUGCAUGCAGUCUACUGGAUUUAUACCUUUUAUGUCUGCUAUGGUCCAUCCUAAUGCCCCUUUGUGCUCUUUUAACACAUCCAACAACUUACCUUUUUGUUCGUCAUUUAGGGAUGAUGAGAUGAUUACCGGUAGAGUGCUUUCUUCUCCCAAAAACGCAUAUUCCAAUGUGUUGGGCAAUUGUUUGAGCUCGAGUUUUGGUGGUGAUUCUGAUGAUGGGAUGAGUUUCUUUUCUGACGGUGCUAGUUGUUCUACUCUUGACUUCCAUUUAUUAGUGUCCAUGGAUGGUGCUGAGUCAAGUAGGGCGUUGACCUCUUCGACCGAUCUAUCAAUAUCAAAAUCCAAACCAAAGUGAGUUAAGCAUGUUUGUAAAGGAUCAUCACUAAGGUUUGAAAGAAAAGUAUUAUCAACUAUUGUUUCUAUUAAAUCCACAUCAACAAUUCCAUCAUCUGCACUGUGAGGUUGUUUGGCAAUGUUAAAGAUGUUUAGCUCCAUAGUCAUGUUGCCGAAGGACAAUUGCAUAUUUCCGGUCCUACAUUGAAUAUGAGCAUCUGCAGUUGCCAAGAAAGGUCGGCCUAGAAUAAUGGGGAUGUGCUUCCUUGAGUCCUGUAUUGGUUGAGUGUCAAUUACAAUGAAAUCAACAGGAAAAUAAAACUUGUCUACCUGGAUAAGCACGUCCUCCACAAUACCACGAGGUAUUUUUGUGGACCGAUCUGCAAGUUGUAACACCACUGGAGUUGGGUGUAAUUCUCCCAGUCCAAGUUUCACGAAUACAGAGUAAGGUAACAAAUUUACACUAGCUCCUAAAUCCAACAAAGCAUUCUCAAUUGUGUGGUUCCCUAUACUACAUGAGAUAGUGGGGGAGCCUGGGUCUUUGCAUUUUAAAGGAAUUUUAUGUUGGAGUAUAGAACUAACGUUUUCUGUUAAAAAUGCCUUCUUUUGAACAUGCAUAUUUCUCUUUUUAGUACAAAGGUCUUUAAGAAACUUGGCAUAAGAUGGAAUUUGUUUUAUAGCAUCAAGCAAAGGGAUAUUGACACUUACCUGUUUGAAGAUUUCGAGAAUCUCACCUGUGGAUUUUCCCUUCUUGCCUUUAGCUAACCUCUGAGGAAAUGGAGCUUUCGGAAUAUAUUCUCGUGGGUUGGUUUCUUCUCUCUCCUCCGGUGGUGAGUCCUCAGCAUUUACAGGUACAAUUUGAUUUUCUUUUGUCACCUGCAUCUCCACUUUAUUGUCGACUUCUUUUCUUUUUCUCAAGGUCAUUACUGCUUUGACCUCUCCAUGCUGCUGUGGUGAACUGGUACUUGCUUCAUGCACUCCUUUAGGAUUAGGCACUGGUUGACUCGGAAACUUGCCUUUCUCAACAGUCAUUGCCAAGGUCUGAACUGAAGAAGCAAGCUGUCCCACCAUCUUCUCGAGGCUUGAAACUGAUUGGGCUUGUGAAUUGAAGCCCGCUCUCAACUCAUUUCGUAGUCCAUCAAUGGUGCGAUUCUGUUGCUCAAUCGUGGAGUGAGUAACAUUCUUGAAAUUCUGGAAUGCAUCCUCCCAUGGUCUGGGUUGAGAGUAGUUCUGGUUUUGAUUGUAUGGUCUAAAUGGUGGCUGAGAGGCUUGAGGAUUUUGAGGAAUUGGUUGCAUUGGUGGAGCUGGAGCUGCUGGUCCAUUCUGUUGAAAUCCUUGAGACCAUGAAAAAUUGGGGUGGUCUCUCCAUCCAGGAUUAUAUGUGUUGGAGUAUGGGUUGUAAUUAGAUGGCUUUCUCAUUACACCUAUGGCAUUGGCUUGAUCGGAGUAUGAGUCAUGGUCAUGUGGUUCUGUUGAUUUAGCAGUCGAUAACGAUGCUAUUUGUCGAGCAAGACCUUCAACCAUCUCCUUGACUUCUUUGAUUCCCGAAGUUGACUCGCCAAUGUGAACCUCAUUCACUCCUUUAAUCCUUCUAGUAUUCCUGAGUGAUCGACUCCGUUGUUGGGAAUUAUCCGCUUGUCGCUGGAAGAAUUCCCAAAUCUCUGUUGCGCUUUUUGACAUUAGCUCUCCUCCACUUGUUGCCAUUAGCCAUUCUUGCACAUUCGGCAAUAAUCCCUCCAAAAAGUAUUGGCAUUGGUGCCAUUUUUCGUACCCAUGAUGUGGACACUUCAAGAGUAGUCCAUUGAAUCGCUCCCAAGUUUCGAAAAACUGCUCGUCCUCUCUUUGUGUAAACUCUGAAAUUUCCCUGCGAAUAGAAUUGGUUUUAUGCACUGGGAAAUAUUUAUUUAGAAAUUUUGUUACCAUUUGUUCCCAUGAUGAAAUGCUAUUGGCAGGCAAUGUAUUAAGCCAUGAACGAGCUCUAUCCUUUAAAGAAAAUGGGAAUAGUCUAAGUUUUACAUCAUCAUCUGAAAAAUUUUCAUAUUUAAAAGUUUGACAAAUAGCAUGAAAAUCAUUCAAAUGAUUAUAUGGGUCCUCAUUUUCUAGGCCAUAAAAUGUGGGGAGACAAUUUAGCACACUAGGUUUUAAUUCAAAACUCCUAGCAGCUACAUUUGGGUAUCUUAUGCAUGAUGUGCUCAAAUUAGCUAAGGGACUAAAAUAGUCCUUAAAUGGCCUCUCCUGUGGUGCUUGUAAAUCCAUUUUAUUUUUAACGUGUUUGUGUGUGCGAAGUGUUUUUUCUAAUUCAAGGUCUAUAGGUUCAAUAUUAGGUAAUAAUGACCUACGACCAUGCAUGCAAAAUAAAUAAAAUAAAAAUAAAGAUGCAAACAAAACAAAAAAUAAAGAUGGGAACAAAACAAAUAAAAAAUAAAGAUGAGAACAAAACAAAUAAAAAUAAAGAAGAGGGAGAAAUUACGAUACUAACCUCAUUGCGCUAUUACAACCUUACUAUAAAAAUACACAAAAAUAAAUACGUGAAAUAAAUUAACUAAAAAUUAAAUUAAUAAGAUAAACAAAAAUUACAAAGAAAAAAUAAAUUGAAAAUUAAAUUACAGAAUUUUAAAGAAGAGAAAAAGAAAAGAAAUACUAACCUUUAAAUGUAGAUUUACUCUUUUUUUUUAAAGAACAAAAAAAAAAAAAAAAUACAAGAAAACAAUUUAAAAUAAAUUAUUCACAAAAAUUAAUUCUAUGAAUUAAAACUACUUACCUCCCCGGCAACGGCGCCAAAAACUUGUUGUGCAAAUUUUAAUGUACUCGCAAGCGCACGAAUCUAUUGUAGUAUAGAUCAAUGGUGACGAGUGUCGAUCCCACGAGGAGGUGGAUUUUAAUUGUGUAUAGAAUUAAUUUUGUAAAUGGGUGGUUGGAUCUGUGGUGGAAAUGAAUUGGAAUAUGCUAAAACUUAAAUUAAAAUGGCGAGAAUAAAUUCUAAAAUUGGAAUUGCAAUGGCGAGAAUAAAUUGAAGAGAAAUGUAUUGAAAUGACGUACUUGGGUAUCUGGAUCCGUAUCAACAUGCAUCAUGGGCUAAAUAAUCCGUAUUAAUGCCAAUUAAAUCAUGAGGGGGGAAUCCACACCUCAUGAACCACGCUCUAAUCAAUAUGGUGCUAAGGGCUUAUCGUGCCAAAUAAUAAUAACCUUAUACUAGAGAGCCGGUGUAACCAAGGCGGUAUCUAGACAAGAUCAGUAUUAUUUGUCGACGAUAAGUCAAAUCAUCCACAAAAACUAGAGGGGAAAAGAAAAUAAAUUUACCAAAUAAAGCCCAUGACACAUGUUGAGACUUCACCUUCAACCCAAGCUUGAAAGGAAAUUAGCUACUCAUAAUUGAACUAGGGGCAAAAUGAAAAUUUAUUAAAAUACGAAGAAAAUACAAGAUGGAGAAGGAAUUACAGAAAAUGGAUCCCAAAAAUGGAUUCAGAGAUAUCAAAUUAGGGGGGGGAGGCCCCUUUUUUAUAGAUACAUGGAGUAAAUCAUGGCCAUCGGAUUAAAAACAGUUUGGACGCUCAGGAUUGCGCCACGUCAUCAGUCAACAGUCCACGGUUUGACCACGCGGAUGAACAGUAACACGGUUUGACCACGCGGAUGAACAGUAACGCGGUUUGGUUGAAAAUAAUCCUGUGUGAUGCAUGCACCGUACGCGAGAUUUUUCGUCCACUGAUAUGCUGCCACGUCACCAUCAACAGUACAUAAGAAUUUUAGUCCAACAGGAUCGUGACACCUCAUCAGUCAAUGCCACAUCAUCGGUCAAUGCCACGUCAUCGAUCCGUCUAUGUGAACAGUGUCGUGAACAGUAACGUAGACAGUACCGUAUACGUGAAUAGUACCGUACAUGUGAAUAGUGCCAUUUUUCUUUUUAUGCCCCUCCUAAGGUUUUCGACCGUCCUGAGUUCAAAAGUGAUGUCCGUUUUGCCAUCUGAUCUCUCCUUUAUUGUGAAAUAACUAUAAUGCCCCUAAAAUACAUAAAAUACUUAAUUAAAAUAAAACACAUGUAAUUAAAUCACAAGAAGGUUAAAUACAUAAAAGUAAGGGUUGUUAAUAAGACUUGAAAUGUAAAAUGACGGUUUUCUCCUUUAUAAAUAUGCAUUUUCUAACACUCAACACUAGUGAGGUUCCAUUUAGGUGUAUUGGGGUUGUGGGUUUUGUGAGUUUUUUCCACUUUUGUAAAUUCUCAUUAUUAGUAAAAUUAUCUUCCAAUCUUUGCCCGUGGACGUAGGCAUUAUGCCGAACCACGUAAAUUAUUGUGUUUAUAUUUUCUUUGUAUUUGUUUGGCACAUUUAUAUUUCUCCAAAAGUUACAUUCAUCGUAAUAUUGGUAAUUGCUCAACCUCGCACUUCCGCAACAAUUGGUAUCAGAGCAGAAGGUUCGUGCUUGGGGCAUACAACAUUGUUCACGUAUACGGAACUGUUCACAAAUACGGUAUUGUUCACGUAUACGGUAUUGUUCAUUGAUAUGGUGGAGAUGGUCAUUUAUACUUGGGAGACAGUCUAUUGAAAGUAGUGUGUAUUUUUUCAUGUCUAGGAAAGUCCUGUCAACAAGGCGAUAAAAGCUUAAGGAGUCUGGUUUUAAGUGGGACCGUUGUGACCCCUCCAUUCUCCUAGGAACUUUCCUGGUGCAUUUAUUCAUGCGAAAUAAAUAUCAUAGAGGCUAUUUUUCAAGUGUAAAUAGUUGUUGAAGAAACUGAUCAUUUGAGAUAAAAAUGAUGGCAGAGGCAUCGUCGUCGUCGUCGUCUUCAUCAGCAAGGACUACUGUGACUAAUGCAAAGUUUGAAGUGGAGAAAUUCAAUGAUACCAAUAAUUUUGGUAUGUGGCAAUGUGAGGUGUUGGAUGUCUUAUGUCAGUAAGAGUUGGACGUUACUCUUAAAGAAAAGCCUGACAUAAUGGAUGACAAGGAGUGGAUAAAGAUCAAUAAACAGGUAUGUGGUACUAUUCGCCUAUGUUUGGCUAAAGAUCAUAAAUACUUUGUUAUAAAGGAGACAUCGGCAAAGAAAUUGUAGGAGACAUUGGAAGAAAAAUAUAUGAAGAAAAGUAUAUAAAGAAAAGCCUUAAAAAUAAGCUUUAUAUGAAGAAGAAACUUUAUCUAUUCACAUAUACACCUGGCAUGUCGAUGAAUGACCAUGUAAAUUCAUUCAACAAAAUAUUGGCAGAUUCACUAAAUUUGGAUGAGAAAUUUGAAGAUGAAGAUAAGACACUGUUGUUUUUUAAUUCCCUUCCUGAUGAAUAUGAUCAUCUCACUACCAAUUUGCUUCAUGGGAAGGGCAGUGUCACAUUCGAUGUUGUAUGCAGUGCAUUGUAUAACUCUAAGAUCAGAAAGAAAGAUAGAAAAGAUCACAGAGAUACAGUUGUAGAAGCAUUAACAACUAAAAGUCGUUCACAAGGCUGUAAACUUGGAAAAAGAAGCAAGUCUAAAGGGAGACCUGCCAAAGAUGAGUGUGUUUUUUGUCGCGAGAAAGGACAUUGGAAAAAGAAUUAUCCUAAGUUACAAAAGGAUAAGGCUUCUUCUUAUGCAUGUGUAGCAGAGUAUGAUGAGGAGUCAGACUUUAGUCUGGUUGGCAUGACGUUGACAUGUUACUUAGAUGAGUGGUUUUUGUAUUCGAGUUGUGCUUAUCAUAUGUGUCCUAACAAGGGUUGGUUUUCUAACUUCAAGGAGCUGGACGGUGGAAUUGUUUUUAUGGGCAAUGACAAUGCCUGUAAAACCUUGGAAAUAGGUACAAUUCAAUUAAAAAAUCGUGACGGUUCAAUCAAAGUCUUGACGGAUGUUCACUACAUACCAAGUUUAAAGAAAAAUCUCAUCUCAUUAGGAGUCCUAGAAUCUAAAGGGCUCACAAUCACUCUGAGAGAUAGAUUAUUAAAGGUAGUAGCUGGCACACUAACGGUGAUGAAAGACACAAGAAGAAAUAACUUGUACUAUUUUCAAUGGAAUACAAUUAUUAGAUCAGCAUCAACAGUUUUUGGAAGAGAUGCAGAUUCAGAAGCAACCAAGUUGUGGCAUAUGCGUUUGGGACAUGCUGGUGAAAAAUCUUUACAGACUCUAGUGAAGCAAGGCUUAUUGAAAGGUGCAAAUUCUUACAAAUUAGAAUUUUGUGAACAUUGUGUUUUAGGCAAGCAGACAAUGGUAAUGUUUAGUUCAAUAAUUCACGAUACAAACUUCCUCGGGGGAGCAUUAAAACCUUCGAGCAGAUGUGCCAGGAAUUUGCAGAGCAGUUUCGUGGGGCAAUGGCACCAGAAGAUGCCAUGAUGGAAUUGAAAAACAUGAAGCAGGGGGAAUAAUAAACACUUCGGGAAUUCAUCAAGAGGUUUUACCAUGUUGUCCUUGAUUUGGGAGCCUUCAACCAUCCUCAGGCAUUAAGGGGACUGAAAGAAUGGGUGAAGAUAGGAAGACUGUGGUACAACUUGAGAAGCCCAGUUAUUCAGACGUACGCCGCCGCAUACAAGCAGGCUAAGAGGGACAUUGAGAUUGAAGUGGAAAAGGCAGCACGGAUCAAGACAGACCAGUUAGAUGGGUUGGGGAAGAAAGAGAAGAAAGCAUUGCCAGGGAACGGGCCGAUCAGGAGGAGAGACCUUCAGGCCUCAAGUAGUGGAGCAGGAGAUCGGGUAACUACUGGCCAUCCUCAUCAGAGGCCACCACAGUAUCGGCGCAGCAGGGCGCAACCUCCUCGUUCCCCAGCUAGGGAGCCUUGGAGAAGCCAUGACUCGGCAUAUGGUGGUCUUCAUCAACACUCCCACGGUAGUAGGGGGCAGACCAGAAGUGCUGCCACCGCCUCCAACUCAGAACGGAGCAAAUAGAGAAAAAGCAGUGCACCUGAUCGACCAGAACCAGGACUAUGGGCAGUACACUUCCUUAAAGAUGUUCCUGGACGAGGUGUACGAGGCCAUAAAGGAUCGAGGGUUGCUAUACCUCCCUGCCUCAAUAACAAAACUACCCAGCAGGAGGGAUAAGGGACGCUAUUGUAAGUUCUAUGGCGCGCAUGGCCGUACUACAACAGAAUGUAGAGAUCUAAAGACCCAGGUCGAAGAUUUGGUGAGAAAUCGAUACCUGGACGAGUUUAUAGAGGGGACUUUCCCGAUGGUGGCCUCGACAUGCGAGGGGGAGCAGAGUGGCAGAAAUUUGAGGCACGAGUAGCCUACAGUAAGGGUGAUUGCUGGGGGCCCGACAUUGGCUGGAGAUUCCAACAGAUCUAGGAAGAACUAUGCUAGAUACGCCAUGACUAGUAAAGAGGUAUUCUUCAACACCCCGGCAGCCAAACGAGCAAGAGUCAGGCAAGUGCCAAUCAUGUGGACAGACGAGGAUGAAAAAGGGAUUUUAUACCCACACGAGGAUGCCUUAGUCAUCAAGGCCACUGUUGCUAGCAGGAAGUUUGACCGGAUACUAGUCGAUAUAGGAAGCUCGGUUGAUGUGUUGUUCAAGUCCACUCUAGAGGAGAUGAGAAUAGCAGACCUGAGGUUGGAGCACACCAACACCUCCUUGAAGGGAUUUGGAGGAGGAAAGCUGGUCCCCCUGGGUGUGGUCGAGCUGCCUAUCACAAUCGGAAGCUCCCCGACAGAAAGGACUAUGAUACUAGAUUUUGUGGUGGUUGAUGAAGAGGGUCCUUACCAGAUAAUCCUAGGUCGGCUGUUUCUGAGGAUGAGUAAAGCAGUACUGUCCAACCAUUAUCUUGCUCUCAAGUACCGGGUGAAUGGGGUAGUUGGAGUGGUACGAGGAGACCAGAGAAUCGCACGAAGCUGUUACUCCUCGGCAGCAAAGGAAUCGAUACAGAUAACAUCCCUUGAUACCCGAGUGAAAGCCAGGAAUGGCAACUUAUUGGACUCGGAGUUUACAAGCUGGUUCGCAAGGACGGCCACGAGGUGAAAUGCCCAUGGAACGCAGCACACCUCCGAAAAUACUUCCAGUAAGACUUGUUCACAUUUGAAAGCUAUUUCUGCUCGUGUUCAUUAUCGUUUAUCUUUUAUGUUUUAUAUCCAAACAAUUUCAUGUAAGUCGAAUCCUGCCAUUAAUGGAACGUCGAGGAAUUUCAUUCGCUUGAAACUGUGAAAAUUUCCUAAGGCAUGCAAAGGCUCGUCAAGUCUCAAAGCCUGUUUAUGGCGAGACCAGAAGCCAAGCGUGCCAGGAUCUGCUCGGCCACGAGAAGGCGAGCAGAAUCCCAAGCUUUGAAGAAAUUACCUAAGGCAUGCAAAGGCUCGACAAAGUCUCAAAGCCUGUUUAUGGCGAGACCAGAAGCCAAGCGUGCCAGGAUGUGCUCGGCCACGAGAAGGCGAGCAGAAUCCCAAGCGUUGAAGAAAUUACCUAAGGCAUGCAAAGGCUCGUCAAGUCUCAAAGCCUGUUUAUGGCGAGACCAGAAGCCAAGCGUGCCAGGAUCUGUUCGGCCACGAGAAGGCGAGCAGAAUCCCAAGCGUUGAAGAAAUUACCUAAGGCAUGCAAAGGCUCGUCAAGUCUCAAAGCCUGUUUAUGGCGAGACCAGAAGCCAAGCGUGCCAGGAUCUGUUCGGCCACGAGAAGGCGAGCAGAAUCCCAAGCUUUGAAGAAAUUGCCUAAGGCAUGCAAAGGCUCGACAAAGUCUCAAAGCCUGUUUAUGGUGAGACCAGAAGCCAAGCGUGCCAGGAUCUGCUCGGCCACGAGAAGGCGAGCAGAAUCCCAAGCUUUGAAGAAAUUAUCUAAGGCAUGCAAAGGCUCGACAAAGUCUCAAAGCCUGUUUAUGGCGAGACCAGAAGCCAAGCGUGCCAGGAUCUGCUCGGCCACGAGAAGGCGAGCCGAAUCCCAAGCUUUGAAGAAAUUGCCUAAGGCAUGCAAAGGCUCGACAAAGUCUCAAAGCCUGUUUAUGGCGAGACCAGAAGCCAAGCGUGCUAGGAUGUGCUCGGCCACGAGAAGGCGAGCAGAAUCCCAAGCUUUGAAGAAAUUACCUUAGGCAUGCAAGGGCUCGACCAAGUCUCAAAGCCUGUUUAUGGCGAGAUCAGAAGCCAAGCGUGUCAGGAUCUGCUCGACCACGAGAAGGAGAACAGAAUCCCAAUCAUUGCAGAGAUUACCUAAGGCAUGCAAAGGCUCAUCAAGUCUCAAAGCCUGUUUUAUGGCGAGACAGAAGCCAAGCGUGCCAGGAUCUGCUCAACCACGAAAAGGUGAGCAGAAUCCCAAUCCUUGAAGAAUUGAAGGCAUGCAAAGGCUCGUCAAGUCUCAAAACCUGUUUAUGGCGAGACCAGAAGCCAAGCGUGCCAGGAUCUACUCGACCACGAGAAGGCGAGCAGACUCCAAAGCAUUCGAAAAAAUUCCUAAGGCAUGCAAAGACUCACCAAGUCUCAAAGCCUGUUUUAUGGCGAGACAGAAGCCAAGCGUGCCAGGAUGUGCUCGACCACGAGAAGGCGAGCAGACUCCGAAGCAUUCGAAAAAAAUUCCUAAGGCAUGCAAAGGCUCACCAAGUCUUAAAGCCUAUUUUAUGGCGAGACAGAAGCCAAGCGUGCCAGGAUCUGCUCAACCACGAGAAGGCGAGCAGACUCCGAAGCAUUCGAAAAAAUUCCUAAGGCAUGCAAAGGCUCACCAAGUCUCAAAGCCUGUUUUAUGGCGAGACAGAAGCCAAGCGUACCAGGAUCUGCUCGACAACUAGAAGGCGAGCAGACUCCGAAGCAUUUGAAAAAAUUCCUAAGGCAUGCAAAGGCUCACCAAGUCUCAAAGCCUGUUUUAUGGCGAGACUAGGAGCCAAGCAUGCUAGGGUCUGCUCGACCACGCGAAGGCGAGCAGAAUCCCAAGCAUUGAAGAAUUUUCAAAGGCAUGUGGCAAAACCAUGUGCCAAGCCAGAACCUGCUCGACCAGACAAAGACGAGCCGAUUCUCAAACGAAAAAUAACUCAUGAUUACGACACAAGAAAGUAAUCAAAAAUAUUUUUAUUAAUUUGUUAAUAAUUAACAGAGGAGAUAAUCUUCACAAACAUUGUUCAUUACAAUACAAGAAACAUAUUUAAGAAGAUGGUGGGUCCGCAAGCCGAGCAUCCUCAGUUAGAUGGUCCACCUCAGGUGCUGGGGGAGUAUCUCCAGUUGCGUCUGGGGGGGUACUCGCCUCACCAGCAUCAGCAGGGAUUACACGGGGAGGAGAGUUUUCCUCUUCUAUCACCAUUGGUGCCACCUCUUCGGCAUCCUCCUUUGCAGCCUCCUCGUCCAUAUGUUGGGCGACACCAGCUGCAAGGUCGUCCAUCUUUAGAUCAGGAUGCUGCUUCCCGAGGACGGCCAUGAUGCAACGAUAAGAAUGCCGAAGUCCCUGGUCGUACUGGUUGUCGGCCUCCUUCUCCAAGUUCUCGACCUGACCUCGGUGGGAAUCGCGGAGGGAUUCGAGCUGAGCCUCAUACAUAGCCUUCUGCCUUUGAAGAUCCUCCUUGACCUUGGCCAGCUCUUCCUCGAGAGUAAUAGCCUUGGCUUGAGCAAGAGAUUCUCGCUCAAUCAACUUCAGAUUCUCGAGGUUUAAGUCCCCUGCUUUCUUCUCAGCAACAUCAGCUCUGGUCGUCGCCGACUGAAUGUCCUCCUUCAUCUUCCUAUCAUAACGGCCAACCUUGGCCUUAUAGUAGGUGGUCAUGCAGCUGAGAUGGAAAGCGCUAUACUGCAUGGCCCCCACCAGCUCGCCUAAGGUGUAGCCAUCAAAGUCCUCGAGGUCCUUCUUGCUCACGAUUUUGGAAAGCUCGUUGAGAUAGGGGGCCAAGUGUUCUGCUCGGCUGUCAGGUAAACGAGAUCUAUGCCCGACAAGAGGCGAAGAGGAAGCAGGAUCAGUGGCUGCUCCACUGGUCUCGUCGAGUUUGGCAGAAAGAAGAGGUAAAGUCUUCAAGGGAGAGACCUGCUGCACGAUGUUGGCCCGCUUUGCAGUAGGGGCAUCCUUGUUCUGGUCCCUCUUCGUGGUUUGGGGUCGAGAACGUUUCCUGUUUAGAGCCCCAAUCACGGCGUCCUCCAUCUUAUGACCAGGGAGUAUCAAGCGAGACUCGAGCAAGUUGUAUGUAGUUAUCAGCUCCCGGCUCGAGCAGGAAUUGGCUAGCACAGCCUCGACCCGUUUGAGCUGGCCAGGUUUGAGCGAGAAAUGAACACCCCAAGAAACUACAACACAAACAGACACUUGGUUAGAGACAAACCAACAAAGCGAGAACAAUUACGGAUACAAGACAUCUAAAGCGAACAGGCAACCUGGGACCGUGAAACGGGGUGGAACGCGAUAAUCCUUCCCGUCUAUUUGUGCAACUUGACCCCAAGGACCCCCAGCAAAAAAGAAUUUCCUCUUCUAAUUCCCACCACCACCAGUAGGGAGGUCGGUUAUGGGUUUCCUGGUCUUGGUACUAGAUUGAAAGUAGUACCAGCCGGCAUCUUUGGGGCUGCUCUUUAGCUGGUACAGGUGCUUCACCUCAUCAACUGUGGACUCGCUUUGGCAACAUCUGUCCCACAAUAUGAACAGACCAGAAAGUACUCUCCAACCAUUUGGGUUCAGCUGACCAGGAGAUAGAUUCAGCCCGUUAAGUAUCCGGGCAAAGUAAGGUUGCACGGGACACCUCAGCCCAUACUUAAAACUAUCCAGAUACAGGGUAACGUAUCCCCUAGGAGGCCGGCUAGGAGUAUCCUUCUUUCCUGGGACCUUAAGAGGGAUUUCACCAGGAAUACUAUACCUAAGCCGGAGGUCAUUGAGCUCAUCAAACGUGGUUAUGCAUGUCAUGUAAUCAAUAGCGUAAUCCCGCGAUAGGGCUCUACCUCCUAUUGUACUCCGCCCUUCUGGUCGCGACGCUCCUGAUGGGGACACCUCGCCAGAAUCAUCUCCUCGGCCCUCACUCAGGGUGUUCUCCGAGCCAGAAGACCCCUCUUCAUCACUAUCUCUGCUCGAGGAGGUCGUUUACGGAGACAUCCUCCUAGCGCUAGUGCCGACACUAGAUCUAAUGGGCUCUAAGGGGAUCCCGGGGUCAAAAGCAGGAUCAGUGAGCAGACUAGGCAGGAAGUCCAACUCAUCGUCGUCAACCUCAAUGACCUUCUCUUUACCUUUCGACAUUCCCUAAACUCUAACCACAACACCACCACCAACUACUACCCGAACAAAAGAGAACAAAAAUUAUCUACAACUAUCCGAGACCAAGGAGAUAGAAGAAAUACCUGAAGUAAUGGUUCAGUCGGUGAAAGACAGAGAUGGAGGCCUUUAUGCCGGAACUUCUUUGCCGGAGAGACAGGGACGGAGACAGAGGGAAUGAUGAAUUUGCUGUUUGAAAGGAUUUAGGUUUCCUAAUGGGGACGGCCUCUUGGGUUGCCAGCAUUUAACGGCACCAAAUCCCAAGGGCCUCGUAACCGUUGGUUUGAAAUUCGAAUAGAGGGGCAGAUUUCUGCCACAUCACCUCGUCCGCAAUUAAAUGCGAUAUGACUCUUGGCAGCCUUUUCCAGUCCCACGCGACCAAGAACCGCUAAGUUUCUACUGCUGGUCCAUUACAUUACCCAACACCAGAAACUGGGGGACCGGUGUUUGAGGGAAAUACUCUGACGAGACCAGACGUGAUGAGCAGAUGUUUGGUGGUAGAAGUCUGCGAGCAGGUGUGUCCUGUAAGAGCCAGGUAGCAGGGGAACAGGGGCAGGAAUAUCCUGCUCAUCCACGAGCACGUCAUCCGCGAGGCCAAUUUCCUGUAAGAAGCAUAAAGCCAUUCCUGCUGUAUUCUUGCUAAGGGUUGAUUCGAGGAGACCCGGUCAACGACAGUUGGCGAGGCAUGCUCUCCAGCCCGAGAAUCUAGGCACGAAGGCCACGCAACCACCCACGACUACGGAAAUGGGGAAUCCACGUUCGAGAGGUGGGAGGAUAACGGACGUAGACUGCGGAAAACUGGGAUUCAGAGGAAGCCUAUAAAAAUGUAGCCAACGAAGGUAAAAUGGUUAGCAAUUUUGAGAUUAGAAGGGAGAUAAAGAAAUUCUAAAGAAGAGAAAACUACCCAAAAGCCAUAAGAUCUGUGGCAAGCGUUCCCCGAACCUUCAUAUCUGACUUGAGCGUCGGAGGGUUUGCGUCGGGAAAACAACCGGCGUACUCUGACUUGUCUGUGUGCGCAGGAACCUCUGGAGAAGAAGCUUUACGAGGAGAGAUCCUGGUCGUGGUGAAGUUGAUCGAGCAGAGACCCUGGUCGUAGAACGAGGAGAACCAGAAUCUCGCAUCAACAAAACGUGUAUUUCAACCUGAGUACUAGCGAUUACCAGUGACUGAUUAACACUUGUUUUAAUUGUAUUCAGCAGUCAUAAAAAUUUACUUUUUCUUGUUAUUUAUUUAUACCACACAUUUUGACUACCACAAACUUAAGUUGCUUGGCUGACGUAUUUACCACAAAUAAAAACUAACAUUCGAGGUUUUUCUUUCGACAUUUCUAUAGAUGUUUUAACAUUUUAGAUUACAAUAUUUUUCAAAACUUGAUUUAGUCACUGAUUGUUGACUACGACGACGACAAAAAAUCUAUUUCGUUGUGAAAAGGAAUCCACAAGAGUACAAGACGGAGCCUUGAUCCAGUAAUAUUACGGAAAAUGGUAUUUUGUUUCCUUACAAAUGAAGAGAGGUUCUGUCUUUGCAGUGGGUAAGGUGAGGGUAUAGAACAUAUUAAUGGCUUUACUUAUCAUCAUCAACUUCCUUCUGUGUCUCUCAAUCUUUGUCUUCUUCUUUGUUUUGCAAAGGAACAUAACCUCAAGAAAUAAUACUAAAUUACCACCAGGCCUCCGGGGCCUUCCUUUCAUCGGUAACGUGCACCAGCUUGAUGUCUCAAAGCCUCACGUGUUAUUUUGGGAACUGUCAAAAAAAUAUGGCCCCCUCAUGUCCUUGCGUCUUGGGUUUUCGCCAUCCUUAGUAGUUUCCUCGGCGAAAAUGGCUAAAGAGAUAUUACAAACCCAUGACCUUCAAUUUUGCAGCAGGCCAGCCUUGGUAGCACAACAAAAGUUAUCUUACAAUGGUCUUGAUUUAGCGUUUUCACCCUAUGAUGAAUAGUGGAGAGAGAUAAGAAAAAUUUGUGUCAUUCAUCUCUUUAACUCUAAUAGGGUACAAAAUUUUCGACCCAUUAGAGAAGAUGAAGUUUCAAGAAUGAUUGAAAAGAUUUCAAAAUCAGUUGGUGCUUCUAAUCCCGUAAACUUAAGUGAGGUAAUGAUGUCUCUUACCAGCACCAUUAUUUGUAGAAUUGGUUUUGGCAAGAGGUACGAUGAAGAUAAAGCAACAAGUGGAAGAAGUAGAUUCCAUGCCCUGCUUAAUGAAACUCAAGCCUUGUUUGUAAGCUUUUUUGUUACAGAUUAUUUUCCUUUCAUGGACUGGAUUGAUAACCUCAGAGGAAUGAUGAAACGCCUGCAAAAUAACUUCCAAGAACUCGAUGGAUUCUACCGGGAACUCAUCGACGAGCAUUUGGAUCCAAACAGAACUAAAUCAGAAUUGCCGCAACAGGAGGAUAUAAUUGAUAUUUUACUUCAAAUAAGAAAAGAUCGUGGAUUUAAAGCUGACUUGACUUUGGAUCACAUCAAAGCAGUGCUCAUGGUGAAUAAUUUUAUAAAUAGUUAUAUGUAGACCGGUGCUUAGGCACAGACUCAAAAUUUUGCGCAGAUACCCAAUUUUACAGUCUUGUAAAAUGUUUUAUAGUGCUGUCAAGUGCUCUCUGAUGUCCCCAUCUGAGCACGAUUAACUUAAUAUAGUUUUAUUUGCUUUAACUAAUCUUAUAUGUAUAUAUUUAUGUUCUUUUUUUUUUAAUUUGCUUUUUUAAGUAAUUUAAUAUGUAUAUAUGUAUGUUGUUUGUUUGGCAGAACGUAUUCGUUGCUGGAACAGACACGAGUGCUGCAACUGUGGUUUGGGCCAUGACCUAUCUAAUGAAGAAUCCUAGAGCAAUGAAAAAAGCUCAACUGGAAAUCAGAUCGCUGAUUGGGGGCAACAAAGGGUUUGUUAAUGAAGAUGAUGUUCAAGAACUACAUUAUCUUAAAGCAAUAGUGAAGGAGACGAUGAGAUUGCAACCCACAGGUCCAUUACUAAUCCCAAGAGAAUCAAUUCAAAAGUGCGUAAUAGAAGGGUAUGAAAUACCAGCUAAAACACUUGUCUUUGUAAAUGCAUGGGCAAUAGGAAGAGAUCCUGAAGUAUGGGAGAAUCCUGAGGAAUUUUAUCCGGAGAGAUUCGCUGAUAGUUCUAUUGACUUAAAAGGGCAACACUUUGAGUUAAUACCAUUUGGUGCUGGAAGAAGAAUUUGCCCUGGGUUGCAUAUGGGAAUUGCUACUGUGGAUCUUGCACUUGCUAAUCUUCUUUACAAUUUUGAUUGGGAAAUGCCGCUUGGAAUGAAGAGCCAUGACUUGGACUUUGAUGUUCUUCCUGGAAUUGCCAUGCAUAAGAAGAAUGCUCUUUCUCUUCUGCCUAAGCUAAGUAUCAUGAUGACUAGGUAAAUUAGGGUACCUCUACCAAUAAGUAGAUAAAAAAAUUAGGGAAAUUUACAACCGUCCACCUGUUUGUUUUGUCUUUUUCAAAAAUACACAAACACUUUUUUUUUUUUUCAGCGCGCCACCUGAAGUUCACUUUUUGUUGCAUUCUUCCACUUCCGUCUAAUUUCCGUUAGCAAAUUUAACGGAAUGACCUUUUUACCCCUCAAAAUUACAAUUUAACCCAAAAUAAAUAGAAAUUGGAGAUAAAUUGGAUGGAUUUAAUUUUUUUUCAAAGGUGGAUGCUAGAAAUUGGAGGAAAAUAAUGUUUGUUGCUUGCUAAAUUUAGAAAAUUUGUAUUUAUUUUUUUGGAGGAAAAUAGUGUUUAUUACUUGCUAGAUUUAGAAAAUUUGUAUUUAUUUUUUCUCUUUCAAAAAAAUAAAUACAAAUUUUCUAAAUUUAGCAAGCAACAAACACUAUUUUCCUCCAAUUUCUAGCAUCCACCUUUGAAAAAAUUUAAAUACAUCCAAUUUAUCUCCAAUUUCCAUUUAUUUUGGGUUAAAUUGUAAUUUUGAGGGUUAAAAAGGUCAUUUCGUUAACAUUCCGUUAAAUCUACUAACGGAAAUUAGACGGAAGUGGAAAAAUGCAACAAAAAGCAAACUUCAGGUGGCGCACUGAAAAAAAAAAAAGUGUUUGUGUAUUUUUGAAAAAGGCAAAACAAACAGGUGGACGAGUGUAAAUUUCCCAAAAAAUUAAGGCACCUCUAUCAAUAAGGGUUUGAUCUAAACGAAAUAUGUGUUAUAUGUCCGCAAUUAUGCUUCUCCUCUUCUCCCGUUUUUCUUUCUUUCUUCUUAUGUACAAUUAAUGAUGAUGCGAAUGGUGAUUAAUAAGCAAGUUUCUUUUAGUUCAAAAUUUUGGGAAGUAAAGGCUAGAAAAUAAUGGGAACUUUGCCCGCUCUCCUAUACCUUAAGAAAAGGGCGAAAAAAAAAAAGAUAUGAAUGUGAAUAUUAAUC